This 52786-nucleotide long non-coding RNA is filed under the name Gossypium barbadense (sea-island cotton). RNAcentral describes it as "long non-coding RNA (GBAR_LNC015215)". The record is from RNAcentral. Lineage: Eukaryota; Viridiplantae; Streptophyta; Magnoliopsida; Malvales; Malvaceae.
UUGCGAGACAGUACCUCUGGUGCAAUAUAGCCCAUGGUACCUCUAGCUGUUGUCAUUGAAAUAGCACUUUGUUCCUUGGAACACAAUUUAGCAAGGCCGAAAUCAGAGAUCUUAGGAUUGAAGUUGUGAUCAAGCAAAAUAUUGUGAGGUUUGAUGUCAAAAUGGAGGAUACGUUGCUCGCAACCUUGAUGCAGGUACUCAAUGCCUUUGGCUACACCGACAGCAAUAUCCUGAAGUUUUUCCCAACUCAGGGAUCGAUCCUUGCCCUUGGCUGAAAAUAUGAACUUCUCUAAUGACUCGUUUGGUAGGUAUUCAUAAACGAGAGCUCUGUCAUAUCCAUCGGCACAAAACCCAACCAGGCGAGUCACAUUCACAUGGUGGAUUCUGCCCAUCGAACCCACCUCGUUGAUGAACUCUUCACCAUUUCCCUUGAAAUUAUUGAGCACCUUGACAGCAACUAAAACAUCACUGGAAAGUCUGCCUUUGAAGACAGUUCCAUAGCCUCCUUGUCCCAGUUUGUCCUUGAAAUGAUUAGUUAUCCUUUUAAUAUCAGCAUAGGAGUAUCUUGAGGGUUUAAGCUCUUUAUAAUCUUCCAAAAACUUUUCAAUCUUGACUUGGCUUUCUUUCUCCUUUUUGUCUAACCGAUAUCUCCACCCAACUGCAAUGGCAAUGGUUGCAGCAAUUGAAGAACCCAACACAAUACCUGCAAAUCAGCAUACAUCCCUCUGUUAUAUCCCGUCUUAAAUUAUUGAAGCUAAAAGGGAAAUUUCAUUUACCUGCAAUCAUUAGCCUUUCUCCCAAACCUGCCAAGCAUUUAAAAUUAUUCAGCUUUGAUACAUGGGAAAUCUAAGAAAAGGGCUCACUGUAAGUUUACAACAUUAAGCUUCACGUUGAUGCAGGCUAAUGAAUUUUUUAACGUACGUUGUACAAUUAUAAUAGUUAAAACAUACCUAUAUGGUGCUUGGGGAUAUAAAAACACUCGGUUUGUUCCUUGGUGCUAUUAUUGUUGGUCAAUCUACAUCCCCUUCCUUGAGCUUCGCAAUCACCACAGUCUGGUUUAUACCAACGUAACUGAAAACGGAUACCAUAAGGAGAAAUGGGUGUUGAGAAGUUGCGAAAGUAGCUGCAAUUCAACAGGUUGAGUCCAUAAUAAUUUUCAUCAGAAGCAAAAGCUAUAAUUUAGGAGCCAGGGGUGCUUAAGCAAGCGACUCUAUAUCUUUUAUACAAAGCCUUCUCUUGGCUUAAACAUUCGAACAAGGUAUAGUUGGAUUCAGCUGGUUGGGAUCUAUAAUCUUUUAGGCCGCUGAAACCUGGUUGUUCCUCCGCGAAUGGAAAGGCAGAUAAAUUGAGAUCUAAAAGCUGCUGCCAGAGGCAACGGCCGGGAACGUAGAAGUCAAUCCGUUGAGCUUCAUAAUCUAUGUGCUUCACCAAUAGCUUCAGCGAACGUGGUAUCUUCAGCAGGGUCUGUUUGUUUUCUGAGCAGGAAAGCUGAAACCCAGGAUGAUGAUAGCCGCAGUGGGGAGACUGCUUGCCUUCUAAACGGAAGGGGAAACGGACAGGUGGAUCCUGGUGGUUGCACCGCCGCACCUUGCAGUCGUCUUGGAUUGGCACUGCUUCUGCAACAUUCACAGCUAAGAUAAAGCAGAAUAACGAGUAAAUUAACAUUGUUCUUACUAACUUGUGAGCCCCUGAAGUGAAACGGGCUUUAAAUAGUUUCAUUGACAUAGGUGGUUCAGCCCUUGAGAGUUCCAAUUAUGCACGCAACGCAGCUGCUGCUUUACUACAUAGCUUUGUCUCGUUUAACAGGGUCUUCAACUCUUCGUCCUCUCUUUGUCCUCUUUUAUGAGUAAAUGUUGGACAUGUUUGAUUGUUAGCAACCCUUUCUAACCUUGUUACUAAUUUUCUUUUAUUCCCGUUAGUUGUAGUAAAAUUUGAGGAAAAAACACUGAACAUGAGAAUGAAUACCGAUUUGCUGUUGUGAUCAUAGUGGGGUCAGCUUGACUGACUUUUGUUUUUCCACCUUCGUUUCACUACAUUUUGUUUGGUAUGACUAAGAAGUUGACUGACUUUUAUGGGUUCUUUUUAAUGUCUAUCGUUUCUUUUCUAAUGUAGGUGGUUUUUUUCUCACUUUCCUUUUUCUAAUUUAUCUUUUAUUUUUGGAUUUUAAUUAAAAAUGGCAAAACUCGAAUCAUAUGUUUUUAAAUUACUUAUUUUAGAUACAACAAAUUUUUUAAAAGUGGAUACAGGACAAAAUGAGAUGAUUUUUUUCACAUGAGUAUGAAACAAUUAUAGUCCCUAUCUCGAAAUAAUCUUUUACCUUUCUUUGUAUAUAAUUAUUAAAAUGAUAAAAAUGUAAUAAUAUAUUAUAGGAAAAAAUUCAUAUGUUUUAUAUUUAUAUUUUUAAAAAAUUAUGUUUAAAUGCUUACUUGUCUUAAAAAAAAGUAAAAUUAUUAAAAUAACUAGAAAUAAAAAUUAAAUUAAAGCAGAGCGAAACAAGGUGAGAUGGGAUGGGGAUGAAUGCUUUUAAUAUAUAUGCUGUGAUAGCGAUUUUUCAGAUUAUACAUUCCAAGUGGGGCGAGGCGGGUGGUGGAGUAAAGCAUGUCAACUGUGGAGCGAUGAUGGAUUUGACAACAUUUAACCUGUCUUGCUCCAUUGCAUGAUGCUUAAUAGGGUCUUCUUUUUUUAUUAAAUCAUCACAAUCAAUUUUGUAUUGAUACUGUUCAGAUCAACCAAAUCGAUUCAUUUAAGUAAUAAACCGAAACAAUAAAAUCUGCGGAUUAAAGCCUGUAAUCAAUGUGCACAGUAUCGCCCAAUGAGGUCAAUUGAUCAAAUGGGGCUCUUUUAACCCACUUGAAUUGGCAUGAUUAAUGGAACACAUGGAGAAGCCCAUCCACUUGAAGCAUUGGUGGCUUAGUGAAAUACUUUAGUAAAACUAGAGUUACCAUGGUGAAUAUUUGUAAUCCUAAGGGAUUAGAUUGUAUAGAGCUUAAAUCCCUUCGAACUCUCAUUUGUAGAUAGGUUUUAAUCUUGAUUGUUGAUGUAAUUUAAAUUGAGUUGUUGCAUCAGAGAGAUCUCAACUAUAAAUAAAGGUUUCCCCCUUCAUUUGCAAUCACUCAAUGUUUUUUCACUCAAAGUUACUAAAUAUAAUUGAGAGCAUUUACUCAAACAUACAUUACUUUCUUGUGGUUUCUCUAGUUCUUUCAUUGCUUCUUCACUUUUGUGUUUGCUUCCGCUAAGUUUUGGUGCCUUAGAGAAUUUCCUUGUGAUUUCUUACUUUUUGAGAUUUAGGUGGACUUAGGCGAAUUUAAAGCUAAGUUCUUGCCCAAUGUUGCACAGUUUGCCAGACUAAAGUUCUAGCCUUGUGACAGUUGGUAUCAAGAGCUAGUGAUUGGUAAGGCGUUAAUUGAGAUGGAGAAAGAAGUAAAUAAUCAAGAGCUCGUGACCGUUGGCAUCACGAACUAGUGUUUGGGUAGGAAAGCUAGUAGAUCAAGGGAUAUAUUGUUAGGUUUGGAAGGUUGAGUGACCAACUUCAAGGAAUUCAUGGGUGGCAUGAAGGAAACACUCAAAGUAGUUAAGGGACACACCACAGAGCUGGACUUAGUGAAAGAGUAACUCAAGGGAUAGGUGGCAGAGGCUCUCAGUACUAGUGUGGACGCACUGCAAGGGGUUCUCAAUACCUCUGUGGGUAAGUUGACAAAGAGAGGUGAUACUCUUAAGGACGUGGUGACAAAUUUGAAGGAACAAAUUGAAUAUUUCAAGAAGGAGCUUGUUAUCUGUAAAAUUGCUUUAGGUAAUGACGUGUUGGCUACGAUACCCAAGCCUAAGGUCGAUACCUUCAAGCCGAAAGAAUUUAAGGGGAUGAGAUCCGAAAUAGAUGUGAAUAACUUUUUAUAAGGAAUGGAAUAAAACCUUCGUGCUAGAGGCAUCAAAGAUGCUGCUACUAAGGUAAAUAUUGCAUCUAUUGUAACAGCUCGAUUUAUGGGUCUAGUCAGAGCAGUGGUUUCGGGACCACAAAUCCGAAGUUAAAAUUCUUAUUUUAUUAUUUUAAUAUCUACAGUAUGAUAUUAUUAUUGUGUAAAAAUUUCGUGAAGAAAUUUUAUCAAUUGGGUGCUUAAUUUGAUAAAAAGGACUAAAUCGCGUAAAGUGCGAAAGUUGCAUUCUAUAUGUAAAGGUGUCUAAUAGCUAUAGAAUUUUAAAUUGAAGGUCCUUAUGUGAUAAAUAACCCAUUAUUGAGAUAUUGGAUGUUAUUAGAGUGGCAUUUGGUGUAGUUAUUAGGGUUAUUAAAGGUUAAAUGAGUAAAACGACAUUAUAUGUUAAAUUAAAUAAAACAAAUUGUGUCAUCUUCUUUCACUAUCCAUCUUCACCAAAAUUUCAACCUAAAAUCAGCCAUGGGAGAGCUUGUUAUUCUGCCAAACUUUGAAGACAAAUUGGUGAGUGGUUUUUGCUUGGUUUUUAAUAAUUUCUAUAUUUUUGAUAUCGUUGCUUCGUAAUCUAGCUAACCCGUACCUCCGUUUCUAAAACUGUUAAAGAUUUUUUGAAUUUCCAUUGUUGAAUACUUGAGCUCUUUGAUAUUUUUUGAUGAAAUAUGAAUAUUUUAUGUUAGAUUUUCAUCUUUUAUAAAGUGAUUUUUGAUAAAAAUGUCAAUUAGGGAUUAAAUUGUGAAAUGUGGAAAUUUAGUGGUUAAAAUGUGAAAUAAAUUGAAAAUAUGGGCUGCUAGUGAUAUAUGGAAAAUUCAGCUAGCUUGGAUUUGUGUUUAAUUUCAUAAAAUUGUGAUUUUAUGUUAUAAGGACUAAAUUAUAAAAAUGUGAAAUUAUAGGGGUAAAAGUGUAAAUAUUCUUUAAGGUAAAUUUUGGAUUAAAUUUAAUUGAGAGAUAAUUAAAUAAGCUUAUUUUGAUUAUAUUUAGAUCGAGAAAAGUGAAAUACGGAUCUAGAUUGGGGAAAAGAUAAAGUAUCGGACCAGUCAAUUCGUUCCGUCGUUUUAGCAAUCGAGGUAAGUUCGUGUAAUCAAACUUCAGUGUAUAUUUAGGUAAUUGAUGAAUGAUAGUAUGAAUUUAUUCAUAUAAUCAAUUUAAUUAUGGAGCUUAAAUUAAACGUUCGAUAUAAGUAAAAAUGUAGGAUCAAACACAAUCGUUUCGCAACGAAAGACGAAUUGGCAGAAAAAACCAUGGUUGGACCAUGGCAUUACAUGAUUUCGUAUAAGACCAUAGCUGGGCUAUGACAUCGAUAUAUGAGACUUUGUGUAAGACCAUAUCUAGGAUAUGGCAUCGAUAUAUGUGAUUACGUGUAAGACCAUAUCUGGAACAUUGGCAUCGAUAUAUGAUUCGUGUAAGACCAUAGCUGGGCUAUUGGCACCGAUAUGUGAUAACAUGUAAGACCAUAUGUGGGAUAUGGAAUUGUAUGUGAUAUACGAGACUUUCGAGUAUCCUUAACGAUUAUGAAUGGUUCGUCACGCAAAGUUAAGACAAGAAUGAAAGUUCAAUUGAAUUAAGCAAAACAGGUACGUUCAGAACCUAUGUGAGAGUUAAAUGAAGGUAAUUUAAUGAGAAUUAUUAGUGUAUAAUUAUAUUUUAUGCCAAAAUGUGUUUAUUUGGCUAUAGUGAGGUAUGAAUUGAAUGAUAUGUGUGAUAUGAGCAAUGAUUGUGUUAAUUAUAUGAAUAUGGCACAUUGAGUGAGAAUUACAAUUAUUUAACGAUAAUUUACAUGAUUCUUUCGGCUAAAGAAAUGUGAUGAAUAAUGGAUCAAAUAAAGUUAUACAUUGUUGCUUAUGUAUUUGUAAAUGAGAAUGAAGUGAUAAGAAGUUUAAGAGGCAUACGAGCUUUGAAAGGAAUAAACUCGUGGAAAUCUUGUUUGAUCAUAUGCAUGAAUAUGAGGUAGAAUUGUGAAAUCAAAUGAGUUAUAUUAUGACUUGAUGCAAUUGCUUGUAAUGUGGUUAUUUAGUAAUAAGAGUUAUGAUAUUACAAGCUUACUAAGCUUUAUAGCUUACCUGGUGUUAUUUUUUUAUGUUUUACAGUGUUUGGGACGUUCGCUCGGGUUGGAAGUCGACAGAGAUUGCAUCACACUAUCCAGCUAAUAAUUUCGGUAUUUAUAUACUUUGUGACUUGGUUAUAUGGCAUGUAUAUGCUAUGGUUAUUUUGGUUUACUAUGGAAAGUGUAUUUGGCCAUAUGGUUUGGCUUGUUUUAAGUAUGUAUUUGAUUAUUUUGUAUAGGCUAGUUUUUAAUAUGUUUGGUUUUGAUGAUAUGUAUAUAUUCAGCCAUGCAAAAAUGGCAUGAUUAUAAUGCUAAUGGUUGUGUAAAUUUGAUCAUGGUAUAAGCACAUUUCUGUAAGUAUGUCCCUUGACAUGUAUGAAUGGUGUUCUGGUUAUAUGUCUUGGUUGAGUAAUGAUAUGAAUGACUUAUAAAUAGCUCAUUUAGUAAGCUUGAUACAUGAUUUAAUUUGUAUUUGUGAUUGGUCUUGUGAUUUGGGUUGGAAUGGUUAAGUAGGCAUAUGUGGUAUGCUUGUUUGAGUGAGUUUUUAGGUACAGCUCAUGAUGGAAAUGGUAUGAAUUUUUGGAGGCUAAUUUGAUGAUCAAAUAUAGGAUUAAAUGAUUUAGUUGUGUAUAUGAAAUUUUGGCAUGGUACAUAGUAUAUGAAAUUGGCAUGUUUAAAUUGUAACAGCCCGAUUUUGGGUCUAGUUGGAACAGUGUUUUCGGGACCACAAAUUCGACGAGGAAAAAUGUAAUGGCCUGAAUUUUUAGGGGUGUCGGAACGGUGAUUCGAGAUCACUAAAUCCAAAAAAAUGAGUAGAAAAUAUUAUUAAUUUAGUGAGUAUAAGUAAAUGUGAAGUUAAGAAAAUUUUUGAAAUAGUGAAUAGUGCACUAGAAAUAAAUAUUAAAAUAAUUAGAAUAAAAAAACGAGGUAUCGAGACCUCAGAGAUUUUAAACCGAGCCAUAAAUAUUUUUAUAAAUAUUUAUGGAGUGUUAAAAAGUUAGUAUUAAAUUUUCGUUAAGAAAUUUUAAAGUUUCGAUAAUUAAUUGAACAAAAAUGACUAAAUUGUAACAAAUGCAAAAUUAUAGGAAAUGAUUAAAUAGCUUAAAUGAUAAAAGGAAGAGGGCUUAAAAAGCAAAUAGACCCAAUGUCUGGACGUCAAAGGCAUGAAAUCAACAAGAAAGUAAGGAGAAUUAAGGGCAAAAUUGGAAUACUACAAAAUUACUUAAUAAAGCUAGGAUCAAAGUGGAAUUAUCUAGAUUUCUCUUUAUUUUUCUGCAUUCUCAUCAGCUAAAACACCAUAGAAGGGUUUCCUUAAGUUGGUUUUUCAUAUUUUUACUGCAAGUAAGUUCAAUUCUUGAUUAUUUCUUGAAAUUUUUGUGUUUUUGUGACUUUUACAACUAGGCCCACUUGUUGAAUUCAUUAGUUUUUGAUUCUAUGAAAGAAGUUGAAAGUUGCUAUGAAUAUGUGCUGGAAGUAUAUGAUGAUUUAGCAUGGAAUUAGAGCUUUAAAUUGUUUCUAUGCUGAUUUUAUUGAAAGAAUUGAAUAAAAAGUGAAUAUUUGGGACCUAAUAGUAAAAGAGUUUGAAGUUAGGGUUUUAUGAGGAAAUUCUGAAUUUCAAUAGUUAUGAAUAACUUAUAAUGUCUAAGUAAAGUACUAAUUGAGAAAAAUUAGCUUAAUUGAGGGGUUAAUUAAACAAUGACUGAAUUGUAUGAAUUGUAAAUUUUGAAAUAUAAUAAAUUUUGUGAGACAAGGUCAGAAUGAUUUCGGGUUCCCCUGUUCUGACUUUGGAAAAUCAUCAAAAAUUUAAGAAAAAUAAUUAGGGGCUUAAAUUUAUAUAUUUAAAAUCCUGAAUAAGUCUAUUUUCAAGAGAAACAAACGGAAACAUCAUCCGAAUCCCGUAAGAGGAAAUAAUUAUUUUUUAGUGAAGAAGGGUCGGAACUGUCUAAUAGUGAAACAGGGGAGAAUUUAAAGAAUAAACUGUACUUAUUGGCUAAGCCAAAAAUUCUAAAACUUUUAUGGUAAAAAUAUAUAUGAGUCUAGUUUCUGGGAAAAUUAACGGAUCUUAAUUUGGAGUUUCGUAGCUCAAGAUAUAAAUAAUUUAGUGACUCUGACUCGGAUAGACAGCUUUGAAUUUACUUAUAAGUAAAUAGUGAAAAUGUAGUUAAUGUUAUUUAAGUGUGUUAUAUACAUUAAAGAUGUGAAAUAGAGAGGAGGAGGAGGAAAAUUAGAAAAUAUAUGAAUGACUUGUGUAUAAAUCGGUCAUAUAUUCGAUCAUAAUCGAUAAAUGUUGAAUUAGAAAUGAUGUAAUGUUUUAUUUCAAAUAGUUACUAUGAGAUUGAUGAUGAUCUGACUUUAGCUAAAUUAAAAGCUAAAGCGAUAUUUUCAUUGCAAAAUUAAUAAUUUUAUAAAUGUGUUAAUGAAUAGCAUAAUCGAUAAAUUUGAGUUAAAUGGUAAAUACGUAUUAGUAUUGAACUUAAUGAUAUUGAAUUGUAUGAGAAGUAAAUGGAAAUUUCUAUUGCUAGUGAUAUGAUUUUAAUUAAAAGAAUUAUUGUGAUAUUAAAAUGUAUAUUGGAUUGAGAAAUUGAUUUGAAUUGUGAACAUGAGAAAUUAUGAAUUGAAUGAAAUGGAAAUGAAGCAUUAAAUUGUUAAGACUUGUGAAUUGCAUGAAUAUAAAUCGAGUCUCGUAGGCCCUAUUUAUUAUGAAUAUAAUAUUUAGAGGAUAUAUUGUGAAGAAUUAUAAAAGCAUGUUAAAAAUUUAAAAGUUUUAAUUUAGAUGAAAUUUUAUAAUAUGGUUAAAUACGUUUACAAGUGUAUGUGUUCUAGUAAUGCAUCACACCCUAUUCCGGCGACGGAUACGGGUAAGGGGUGUUGCAUAAAUUCAGUUAUUUUACUUAGAAAAUUACUAAAGUUAGUCGAGUAAGUAGUGUAUGGAUUGGUUAUACUUACAAUUGAGAUUCGAUCAUUUGGGUAAUGCUUGUAGGCAUUUGUAUAAUUUUGCCCAUUUUGCAGCAUAGUAUAGUUCAACUUAAGCUAGUAUGUGCAUGUACAAAGCUCAUAACUAAUAUAUUUGAUAUUAGUUAAUAUUAUGAAUUGAUAUGGCUAGUUGUGGCUUAAAUAUGCACACGUGGGAAAGCUUAUAGAAAGGAUGUAUUGUUGUAAGCUAAGUAUAUGAAAGUGACAUAUGAUUGAUACUUAUUUAGGUAUCUAAAUGCCUUAUUAUAUAGUCAUAAGGUUCGACUAAUAGAAUUAUAAUGUAUAUGUAUUAUGAUAUGAUGUUUUAUAAUAGUAAAAUAUGUUUGGUUAGUUGGUUAAGUGGUACACAUGUAUGAUUGUUAUAGAUUGAUGACCAUAUGGUUUGAAUUUGGUAAUUAUGGAACUAGUUCAAUUUGGUUUUUCGUAAGUUACCUUGAUGAAAAAUUUGAUUUGGUAAUCGGAAUGAAAUUGGUUGAAUUUUGAUAUAUGCUUUAUUUGUGAUAUAUGACUAUUAAAGUAUGAUUGAUUUGGAUUGGCUUUAUGAUUCAUAUGUUCGAAUUUAGUAUAAAUGAUUUGUGGACAUUCAAGUUUAAUAAUGUUAUAAUUGUAUCUUGAUAAUUCGGUACAUGAAAGUAAAAUAUGACUUUGAUGUAUGUUAGUUAAUAUUACUUAUUGUAUGUUUAGAAAUGAAUGACUCUCUGAGCUGUAUUUUGAUUGGUAAUGCCUCGUAACCCUAAUCUAGUGAUGGAUACGAGUUAGGGGUGUUACAUCUAUGUAUUUUAUUGAUGUCGCUCUUUUAUAGUGACAUUGUAGGUCCACAGAUGAGAAACAAGGUGGAGCCACAAUUGGGACUUGGGAGGAGUUUCAAAAAGAAUUCAAGGGGCAAUUUUACCGAGAAUAUGUCGAGGAUGAGGCUCAGGUUAAGUUGCGUCGACUUACGUAACAAGGCAUAAUCAGGGAGUAUAUGAAGGAGUUUAGUGGAUCAUGUUCUAUAUUUUUUAUUUGGGUGAGAAAAAGACAUUUUUCUCCCUUAUGGAUAGGCUGAAACCUUGGGCGGAGCAACAAUUGCAACGUCGAGCAGUCAAAGAACUUAUCAAAGCAAUGAUCGUAGCAAAGUCCUUAAUUAAGUUUGUUCCGAGGAAAGACGAGUUCAAGUCUUCCAAGACCAAUGAGACGGGUAAUGUUGUGGGAGACAAAGAAUGACAUGUUAAAAAUGACAAUGGUGAAAAUGGUGGUAAUGAGAAACUACAAAAUAAGAAGUGAAUCCGGAAGGCCCCUAUAUUAUAGGGAUUAUAUCAAAUUAGUCUCUCUAUAAAUGUACAAUUUAGUCAAAAAGAAUCAAAUAAGCCUUAAUUGUAAUAGAGUGAUCUAUCAAGUAUAGUCACCUUUUCUAAAACCAUUAGUUUGAAGUCAUUUUCAUUCUCUCUUCUUGAUAUGUCUUCUUGUUUUUUUUAAUUAUUUUGAAGGAUUAUCUUCAAUCCCAACCUUUAUUUUUUAAAUGUCUUCUUUUUGGUUAUUAUAAAAAAUCAUCUUCAAUCACAAUCAAAUUGGAAUCUUCAUUCUUUUUAAAAUUUUUGAGGUAACUAAUAGUCCUUAAACUUCUUCAAGCUUUUGUAACACCCCUUAAAUUUUACAGUAUGGUAAACAACACUAUUCUAAGAAUCACUACAAUGAAUUUUUGAGAAAAUUCAAUAAUGAGAAAAUAAAGAGAGUUUUUAGAAGGGACUAUAAUUAUUUAUUUUUGGAAAUCAAUGAAGUAAAUUUGGUAUGUGGAAUUGUGAAAAAAAUGACUAAAUUGUAAAAUUAAGAAAGUAAGAGAACUAAAGUAUAAAGUAACUAAUUUGAGAAAUUAUGGAUUGAUAAUGAUUUGUAAAUAUUAAGCCGACAUGAGACAUGUAUUAUCAAGGAAAAGCAAGUUUGGACUUAAUUGAAUAAAAUGAAAAGUAUAGGGCUCAAAUUACAAACUUCUCAUUUUGACUAGAAUAUAGGUAAAAGUAUCAUUUUCACCAUUUAUGGACUUAUUUAAGGGAUAUAUUUGAAUUUUGAUUUUUUGUUUGGAUAAGUGCUCAUUGUUGUAAAGAAAUUGUACAAAUAAACAAAAAGAAUAAUAUGAUAAGUUUGCCAUAAUCGGAUACUUUAGUCAUUUAUCAAGUACUUUACGAUGGAAAUAUUAUUUUAUUGGUAUUUUUAAUGUAUGGAAUUAAUUUGAAUUUUUAUGAUGAUAUGAGAGAAGAUAUAAAGUGUUAAGUGUCAUAUUUGGUAUUAAUUAAAGAGAAGUGAUAAGAGAAGGGACAAAGGUACAAUUUUACCAUUAAAAAUAUAUUUUGGGACUUAUCAUGAAUAUUUUAAUGAAAUUAUGGACUUUAUUUUAAUUGUGUUAUUAUGAGAAAAUUUAUGGUCAUAUAUUCCGGAUUUUUCAUUCAUGAAUCAAGGUAGAUUACUUGAGGUGAAUCUAGGGAGGCUGGCAGGGGCCCCGACCUCCCCUAAAAUGAAAAAUUGUUGUUUUAGCCUUUUAGAAAAUUUUAAAAUUUUAAAUUAAUAAAUAUAAAAUUGCACUUUUGGUGCCUCCUAAAAUUAUAAAAAUUUAAUUUAAUCCUUUAAAAAUUAUAAAGAUAUAGACUAUUAAAAAUUAAAAUUUCAUUUCGGCUCUCCCUAAUUUUUUUUUUUGGUUUCACCUAUGUAGACUACCCAUUUAAAAAUUUGUUUGACUUUGACUAAUCAAAUUAUGAUUUUUUUCCUCUCAUGUGUCGUCCCUCUCUCCUUAAGAAUUGAAAAUAUAUGUCGAAUAAUAUAAAUAUGAAAAUUGCCUCAACCUACUGCAAUUAUCUAAGGAGUAACCACUUCCUCAAGCACUCAUCUAAUUUUUCUAUAAUUUUCAGUAACUUCAAUAACUUCAAAUAUUUGUUGAGGUUUAGGAUGAAUAUUGUGAAGUGUUUUUUUAGGGAUAAUGAAUACAAAGCAAUUUAUGAGAAAAAAUGGAAUAUUACAACAAACACCUAAAAACAGAAACAAAUGUUGGCUAGAAAAUAUAAAAGUUUAAGCCAAUCGAGUCUUAGCUCGAUUGGUAUAGGUAUGUUGACAAUGCAGGAAGACGUGAGUUCGAGUGCGAUGAAAUGCAUUAUCUUCCUAUUUAUGGGUUGGGAUAGGACUAUGAGUAGUUCUAGAUAUUGUGUCAAAAAGAGCAGAUAUGAUCAGAACUUAUAAUGAGAUUGUUCAAAAAAAAGAAUUUUAUCGGGUGUUAGUAUAAGUGGCAUAAAACCAGUGAAUAGAGUUAACAAUUGAACCUGAAUUUUAAAUUUUAAAAAAUACAAGUACUAAAUUCCUAAAAAUACAAAGACCAAGUUCUUAACUUUCAAAAAGUACAAGGACUAUAACCACAUUUUAACCUUUCAUUAAUUAAAGGUUUGUCAAAGUUGAAGCUUAAUUCAAUGAUCUAUGUUAUAAAAUAUAUCUUAACCCGGCCACCUUAAGCUUUUAUUAUGGUCUAUUAAUUUAUGUUCACGACCACCUUCAACUUUUUUAUGAUCCACUAAUUUACAAUCAUAAACUUAGACUUUCUUACAGUCUAUUGAUUUAUGAUCAUGACCUUUUACUUACGAGAUUUUAUUAAUCUCACGGUCCGCUAAUUUACGAUCAUGACAUUUUACUUACAAGAUUUUAUGAAUCUCGCAAUUAGCUGAUUUACGAUCACAAAAUUUAACUUUCUUAUAAUCCACUAAUUUACAAUCACAACAUUUUACUUACAAUUUGCAAUAGUCAAUAAAUUUUCGAGUUCAAACUUGCUUGGUAAACCCUUAGUUACAUGUAUGCGUGUAAAUUUAUCUCCAAAGACUCAAUUUAUAACUCUACUUCAAUAAGUUAGGAGACAAAUUGUUAUAAAAUAAUCUUAACCUGACCCAAGAUCCAAUUCAAAAUCCAAGCCGGAAGAAACCACCUUAUAUACAUUUCUAAAUACCCUCUUAAGAAUACCGACUCGAGAGAAUAUCUUUUAUCUUCCUCUUCACCCUAACAUAUUUUUUCUCCCUACCCCACCCAACCAGAAACUGUAACAACAAUCUAUAUUGUAAACUGGGAAUAUCAAAUUGCUCUAAUCAUGCAAAUAAGUUGUUAGUUUUAGUUGCCUUAAAACAACUUUUGUACCGAUAUUUAUAAAUUUAUUUAUAUUUUAUCUAUAAUAUACCAACAGAACUUUAUGGUGUUCAAGUAAAAGCACCAAGAAAAAUGCAAUCAAAUGUCUGACCCAACUCCAUCCCCAACCAGUGGUUAAACCAAAUCCUUCAGUUAGCAAUUCCAGAUUCAGACAAAACACACGACUGUGCUACGUCUUUCCUAACUCGACCACAAUCACACUAAUGUUGUCUUUGCUACCCCUAGACAUUGCGAGUUCAACCAACACCGCCGCUGCUUCAGAAGCGCGGUUUUGAUUCAAAACAUCAGCUGUUUUGCUCCUUAUUUGGCCGUUCAGACAUCGCCUUACCACUCGACACGCCACCUCAUUCGAUACCACAUCCCAAAGUCCGUCACUAGCCAGUAUCAGGAACUCGUCACCAUUCGUUACCUCUCGUACGGUCACUUCCGGUUUGCAUAUCACAAAGGGUUUGAGGUACUGAUUACCUGCUUGCAUUCCAUUCCAAAUUACAUUACAUAUGAAUAGAAUAUUAUGUACGUAAUUGCAAAUAUAUUUGGUUACCUAUGGAUCUUGAAGUGGCCAGUACUCCAAGCACUCGAUAUCCAUUCCAGUUUAUGACCCUUCCACCAGCAGCUUCAACUCUCUCCAACUCAUCAGGCCUGUCGGGCUUUGCAAAAACAAAGUGUCAACAUGGGAGGCCACCACCACUACCUGCCCCUUUAUCUUCGUCCUUAAGCUCAGUAUAAUAUGCUAUUGAAUAAUUUUUUUUUUCAUUCCAAUAAAAUCCGUAGGACCAAGUUCUAUACUUAUAAAAGCUGUACAUCGCAAUAAUAACAGUUUGGAAGGAGCGACAAUAGAUAGUAUAUAAACAUAAUGAUUAAGCAUGCAUCAAUAUAGGUCAAAGUAGAGGCAAAGAAAACAAGUGUAAAGAAAAAGGGGGCAAAUUGAAAGAGUUGUAAAGUUAAAUUAGUAUAUAAAUAUAAGCAUCAUCCUUGAUUACCCUAAAGGGAUGGCGAGCUUAAUCCUCUUAUUGCUAAUUAGACAUUAUUUGUGGAAAACGAAGAGCUUCAGUCUAGCUUUGAGAUUCAGAUACUUCCACUCAUUUCCCAUAUAUAUGAAGUUACACCUCCAUCGAAUUGAAGAUUUCAUGGUUUCAUAGUUUCCAAUUAAAUCUUUAAGAAUAUUCAACAGGUUGAGUCCAUAAUAAUUUUCAUCAGAAGCAAAAGCUAUAAUUUGGGAGCCAGGGGUGCUUAAGCAAGCGACUCUAUAUCUUUUAUACAAAGCCUUCUCUUGGCUUAAACAUUCGAACAAGGUAUAGUUGGAUUCAGCUGGUUGGGAUCUAUAAUCUUUUAGGCCGCUGAAACUUGGUUGUUCCUCCGCGAAUGGAAAGGCAGAUAAAUUGAGAUCUAAAAGCUGCUGCCAGAGGCAACGGCCGGGAACGUAGAAGUCAAUCCGUUGAGCUUCAUAAUCUAUGUGCUUCACCAAUAGCUUCAGCGAACGUGGUAUCUUCAGCAGGGUCUGUUUGUUUUCUGAGCAGGAAAGCUGAAACCCAGGAUGAGGAUAGCCGCAGUGGGGAGACUGCUGGCCUUCUAAACGGAAGGGGAAACGGACAGGUGGAUCCUGGUGGUUGCACCGCCGCACCUUGCAGUCGUCUUGGAUUGGCACUGCUUCUGCAACAUUCACAGCUAAGAUAAAGCAGAAUAACGAGUAAAUUAACAUUGUUCUUACUAACUUGUGAGCCCCUGAAGUGAAACGGGCUUUAAAUAGUUUCAUUGACAUAGGUGGUUCAGCCCUUGAGAGUUCCAAUUAUGCACGCAACGCAGCUGCUGCUUUACUACAUAGCUUUGUCUCGUUUAACAGGGUCUUCAACUCUUCGUCCUCUCUUUGUCCUCUUUUAUGAGUAAAUGUUGGACAUGUUUGAUUGUUAGCAACCCUUUCUAACCUUGUUACUAAUUUUCUUUUAUUCCCGUUAGUUGUAGUAAAAUUUGAGGAAAAAACACUGAACAUGAGAAUGACUACCGAUUUGCUGUUGUGAUCAUAGUGGGGUCAGCUUGACUGACUUUUGUUUUUCCACCUUCGUUUCACUACAUUUUGUUUGGUAUGACUAAGAAGUUGACUGACUUUUAUGGGUUCUUUUUAAUGUCUAUCGUUUCCUUUCCAAUGUAGGUGGUUUUUUUAUCACUUUCUUUUUUUUCUAAUUUAUCUUUUAUUUUUGGAUUUUAAUUAAAAAUGGCAAAACUCGAAUCAUAUGUUUUUAAAUUACUUCUUUUAGAUACAACAAAUUUUUUAGAAGUGGAUACAAGACAAUGAGAUGAUUUUUUCCACAUGAGUAUGAAACAAUUAUAGGCAUUGUUUGCUCUACUCACCUUAUCUCGAAAUAAUCUUUUACCUUUCUUUGUAUAUAAUUAUUAAAAUGAUAAAAAUGUAAUAAUAUAUUAUAGGAAAAAUUCAUAUGUUUUAUAUUUAUAUUUUUAAAAAAUUAUGUUUAAAUAUUUUCUUGUCUUAAAAAAAGUAAAAUUAUUAAAAUAACUAGAAAUAAAAAUUAAAUUAAAGUAGAGCGAAGAAAGGUGAGAUGGGAUGGGGAUGAAUGCUUCUAAUAUCUAUGCGGUUAUAGUAAUUUUUCAGAUUAUACAUCCAAAGUGGAGAGAGGUGGGUGGUGGAGUAAAGCAUGUCAACUGUGGAGCGAUGAUGGAUUUGACAACAUUUAACCUGUCUUGCUCCAUUGCAUAAUGCUUAAUAGUAUGCCUUCUUUUUUUAUUAAAUCAUUACAAUCAAUUUUGAAUUGAUACUGUUCAGAUAAACCAAAUAGUUUCAUUUAAGUGAUAAAUCGAAACAAUAAAAUCUGUGGAUCAAAGUCUAUAAUCAAUGUGCAUAGUAUCGCCCAAUUGAUCAAAUAGGACUCUUUUAACCCUUUUAAAUUGGCAUGAGUCAUAGAACACAUGGAGAAGCCCAUCCACUUGAAGCAUUGGUGGCUCAGUGAAAUACUCCGGUAAAACUAGAGUUACCAUGGUGAAUAUUUGUAAUCCUAAGGGAUUAAAUUAUUAACUUAAUUGCAGAAAUACCAAAAUUCAAGAAUAUUUUAGUAAUUUUCUAUUUUCCUCGAAUUUCCACCCAAUCUUGAUCUAAAUUGAUAUUUCAUUCAAUUUAUUAACUUAAAUAAUAAAACAAUUCAUUUCAUGCAAUUUGGUCACUUUUUGACAUUUUUACCAAUUUACCCUUAAAAUAUUAUUUUUAUUCAAUUUAGUCCUUGAACCUAAAACAUGCAAAUUGGUUAUUUUUAAUUAAAACUCAUGCUAGUUGAACAAUCAUUUAUUUUCCUCCUCCUCCUCUCCAUUCCACAUCCUUAAUGUAUAAUAUGCUUAUAUGUAACAUUUCUAUAAUUCCACCAUUUAUUUAUAUAUUAAUUCAAAGCUAUCAACUUGAGUCAUAGUCACUAAAUCAUUUAUAUCUUUAGCUACGGAACUCCGAAUUAAGAUCCGCUAAAUUCCUAUGAAACUAGACUCGUAUAUCUUCUUACCAUAAAAUUUUAAGAAUUUUUGGUUUAGCCAAUAAGUACAGUUUAUUUUUUAAAUUUUUUCCUAUUUCACUGUUUGACAGUUCUGAACCCUCUUGACUAAAAAUUAAUUAUCUCUUUUUACAGAAUUUGGAUGAUAUUUCCGUUUUUUUCUAUUGAAAAUGGAACCAUUAAUUAUUUUAAAAAUAUAAAUUUAAGCCUAUAAUUAUUUUUAUUCAAUUUUUUAUGAUUUUUCAAAUUCAAAAUAGGGGAACCCGAAUUCAUUCUGACCUUGUCUCACAAAAUUUAUUAUAUCUCAUGAUUUACAAUUCCAUUACUUACACCGUUUAUUCUAUGAGAAACUACACUUAAUAAGCUUUAAUUCCAUGUUUUUUUCAUCCUAUAAUUCGAUUUCCAAAAUUUAUGGUGAUUUUUCAAAUUUAACCUACUGCUGCUGUCCAAAACUGUUUUAGUGCAAGAUGUUGAUUACUAAGUUUAUAACUCCCUUAUUCCCUUUCUCUAUAAUAUUUCCCAUCAUUUUCACUUAUUUCCCUUCACUAAUAUAUCAAGAACAUAAGACUUUAUUUAAGAAAACUCUACUAUAACAUCAUUUCCAUACUUUUUCAACAAUAACAAACUUAAAAAUAUAUUGAAAUCUUGAAGUUCUUACCUUGUGCUAUUGAUUUCAAUCUUUAACUUGAUUUUCUCUCUCCUCCAGCUUCUUUUUCUUGAAUCUAACUUGACAUUCUAGCUCCCCAUUGUCUCUUUAUUAUUUUUCUCUCUUGGAAGCUAUGGAAAUUCUUUUGUUUUCUAGGUGAAAAUAGUGAAUUUUUGGUGAAAGGACCAAAUUGUAAAGAAAGAAAAACUUUCUUUCUUCUCUUCUCUUCUAACGUUGGUUGCAUGGAAAGAUGAUGAUUUUUCAUCAUCUUUCCUCCCUUUUAUAUUAAUCAUCUAAUAAUAAAAUAAUACUAAAAAUCUUAAUAAAAUAUUAAUUAAAUAACAUUUAUCUAAUUAAUUAAUUAAAAAUAUCACAAACAUCAUCAUUACCUUCUAGAAUUCUCUCUCUAUUUGACCAUUUUGCCCUUUAUAAUCUUUUGAAAUUUCAUUCUUGAGUCAUCACUUAAUUUGGAAAAGUUACAAUUUAGUCCCUCAAAGUUCCUCACUUUUUCAAUUUGGUCCUAAUUCAUCCAUUUUCCUUAGUUUCUAGAUUAUUCCACCCUUAAAAUAUUUACACUAUUUGUCCUUCAAAUUUUUCAUAUUUACACUUCAACCCCUUAAAUUUUGAGUAUUUACUCUUGGGCAACAAAACUUUUCUCACGUUUGCAAUUUAAUCCUUUAUUGAAUUAAUAUAUCAUAAUAUACUUCCCAAUGUUGACAUAACUCAAUAUUACCUUUUUUAUCACUUUAUUUCCUUAUUUUACUAUAUCAAUGAUAUUAUCUUACUUUAUUACUGUAGUAAAUUUCGGGGUAUUACACAGGGAGUAUAUGAAGGAGUUCAGUGGAUCAUGUUCCAUAUUUUUUAAUUGGGUGAGAAAGAGACAUUUUUCUCCCUUAUAGAUAGGUUGAAACCUUGGGCGAAGCAACAUUUGCAACGUCGAGGGGUCAAAGAUCUUACCAAAGCAAUGAUCGUGGUGGAGUCCUUAAUUAAGCUUGUUCCAAGGAAAGAAAAGUUUGAGUCUUCCAAGACCAAUGAGAUGGGUAUUGUUGUGGGAGACGAAGAAGGACAUGUUAAAAAUGACAAUGGUGAAAAUGGUGGUAAUGAGAAACUGCAUAAUGAGAACUGAAUCUAGGAGGCCCUUGUAUUAUAGGGAUUAGAUCAAAUUAGUCUCUCUAAAAAUGUACAAUAUAGCCAAAAAGAAUCAAAUAAGUCUUAAUUGUAAUAGAGUGAUCUAUACAGUCACCUUUUCUAAAACCAUUAGUUUGAAGUCAUUUAAUUAUUCUGAAGGAUUAUCUUCAAUCCCAACCUUUUUUAUUUUGAAAUGUCUUUUUUUUUGUUAUUAGAAAAUUCAUCUUUAAUCACAAUCAAAUUGGAAUAUUCAUUCUUUUUAAAACUUUGAGGUAAUUAAUAGUCCUUAAACUUCUUCAAGCAUUUGUAACACCCCUUAAAUUUUACAGUAUGGUAAACAACAUUAUUCUAAGAAUCACUACAAUGAAUUUUUGAGAAAAUUCAAUAAUGAGAAAGUAAAGAGAAUUUUUAGAAGGGACUAUAAUUAUUUAUUUUUGGAAAUCAAUGAAGUAAAUUUGGUAUGUGGAAUUGUGAAAAAAAUGACUAAAUUGUAAAAUUAGGAAAGUUUGAGAACUAAAGUAUAAAGUAACUAAUUUGAGAAAUUAUGGAUUGAUAAUGAUUUGUAAAUAUUAAGCCGACAUGAGACAUGUAUUAUCAAGGAAAAGCAAGUUUGGACUUAAUUGAAUAAAAUGAAAAGUAUAGUGCUCAAAUUACAUAUUUCCCAUUUUGACUAGAAUAUAGGUAAAAGUAUCAUUUUCACCAUUUAUGGACUUAAAGGGAUAUAUUUGAAAUUUGCUUUUUUUUUGGAUAAGUGCUCAUUGUUGUGAAGAAAUUGUACAAAUAAACAAAAAGAAUAAUAUGAUAAGUUUGCCAUAAUCGGAUACUUUAGUCAUUUAUCAAGUACUUUAUGUUGGAAGUAUUAUUUUAUUGAUAUUUUUAAUGCAUGGAAUUAAUUUGGAUUUUGAUGAUGAUAUGAGAAGAUAUAAAGCAUUAAGUGUCAUAUUUGGUAUUAAUUAAAGAGAAGUGAUAUAAUAGAAGGGACAAAAGGUACAAUUUUGCCAUUAAAAAUAUAUUUCUUGACUUAUCAUGAAUAUUUUAAUAAAAAUUAUGGACUUUAUUUUAAUUGUGUUAUUAUGAGAAAAUUUAUGGUCAUAUAUUUUAAAUUUUUUGUUCAUGAAACAAAGUGGACUACCAGAGGUGAAUCUAGGGGGGCUGGCAGAGGUCUUGACCUCCCUUAAAAUGGAAAAUUAUUGUUUUGGGCCUUUAGAAAAUUUUAAAAUUUUAAAUUAGUAAAUAUAAAAUUACACUUUUGUCCCCCUAAAAUUAUGAAAAUUUAAUUUAAUCCUUUAAAAAUUAUAAAGAUAUAGACUAUUAAAAACUAAAAUUUCAUUUCGGCUCCCCCUAAAAAUUUUUUUUGGCUUCACCCCUGUGGACUACCCAUUUAAAAAUUUGUUUGACUUUUGACUAAUCAAAUUGUGAUUUUUUUCCUCUCAUGUGCCGUCCCUCUCUCCUUAAGAAUUGAAAAUAUUUGUCGAAUAAUAAUAGAAAUAACAAAUCCUUCUUCGAGAUGUCCAGUGAUUUCUGUGUUCUUUUUUUUUAAUGAGAUAAAGGAAUUAAUCAAGAUGUGUGUGCAAGAAAUUGAAGAAUUUGGAAACAAGUGUAGAAGAAUUUUAGGAACAUUGUGGAGUAUUCAAUGAAAUUCUCAAGAGAAAAGAUAGACAUAUAUUGCCAAUCCAAUAAAAGUAAAAUGAGAUUCCGAAAAUGUUUAAUAAUGAAUCAUUUGUAAAGGAUGAAAGUGAAGUGAGAUUAUCUUGAAGUAGACAUUACGGAGGAAAUAGUACUCAUUAAAGCUAGAAAAAAAAAGUUAAGUGUUGAUCGUUGACACUAAGAAAGUGUAUCACAAAGGAAGUGCGAAGAAGAGAUACAAGUAUUCGAAGAUGGUAAUAAAGACUUACGAGGAUUGGAAAGUGAUAAUUAAUGGAAACCAUAUAAGAGAGGUGAAAUAUAACAUUCUAAAGCUUGACCUAGAAACCUAAUCGAAUUUGGAGUGUUAUUGUGGUCAUCAGAGCAACCUGCAUGAUCAAUCGUUCAUUCAAUCACAUUAAAAUAUAAAAAAAUUAGACAUACACACAACAAGUCAUUUAACAAAACUUAAUCAUAUAAUCAUUGAGUUCCUAAAUCAAAAUCAAAACACCCAAACUGACCAAUUAGCAAAUCCUAAGUACAUGUCAAACUAUACUAUUUCAAGGGUUUUUACAAAAUAAGAAUUGCGGAGACUCUGAGGCGAUGUCUGCUCUGACUCAAACUCACAAACUAUUUGAUCCAAAUAUUACCUAUGCACGGAAUUAAUAACCCGUACAUCGGGCUUUUCAGAGCUUGGUGGAGACCAAAACAGUCUAAACUACUAAUGCAUAUAAUUGAAAAUAAAAACAUUUUAAUCAAAUACAACUAUAUAUAUAUGCAAUAAUUCGAGGAGUGAAAGUCACACUCAAUAAAAAUUGUCAGAGACGCAAUACAAUCAUGAAUCAGUCACAAAAUAACAUUUAUGUAAUAGCCCAAUUUUGACCUUAAUCGGAUAUAGUGGUUUCGAAACCAUGAAUUCGAGUCAGAAAAAUAUUUUUUAUAUUAUUUUUAGUGUUUAUUAUAUUUUAAGUUAUAGGUGUGAAAAAUUCGUGUGGAAAUUUUAUUGUUUAAAGGUUCAAUUUGAUAAAAAAUGAUUUAAUCGCGUAAAAUAAAAAUUUAGAGGUUAAAUUUUAAAAGCACUUAUUUGUUGUUGUCUUUUUAAGUGGGAGGUCUAGAGAUGUAAUUAGACCAAAAUAUAGUUAGUGGAUGACAUAUGACAACAUUGUCCCUUACAUAUAUGUUUUAUAUAUUUAUUAUAAUAAGGUUAAUUAAGUAAUUUAAUAAUUAUAAUGUAUAAAUGUUAAAAUAAACUAAGAAAAGAUGAUUUUUAUCAUCUUUGAAAGCCGAAUGUGUAAGAGAACUCAUGCAUGGUUUCUUGUUGAAUGUUCGGCACUUUUAAAGACAAAUUAAGGUAUGGGUUGGUUUCAGUUUUUGAUAAUUUUUACGUUUUUGAGAUCGUUGUUUCGAAUACUAUCCGACCCAUGUUUGAAUUUUUAAUUUUGAUGAAUAUUUUGAGUUGUGCCAUUGAUGAACAUUUGUGUUAUGUGAUGUUUGAUGAUGAAUAAUGAAAGAUACAUUUUAGAUUAAUAUGUUUUGUAUUGGAAGUUUUGGUGAAAUUGAGUAAUUAGAGUUAAAUUGUGAAAUUAAAUUUUUGAGGGAUUAAAAUGUGAAAUAAAUGAAAUGUGAGGAUUGGUAUGAACAAUAGGUACAUUCGGCCCUUAAGGAGUGUAGUCAAAAUUUGUGUAUUUUGUGUUUUGAGCAAAAAGGAUUAAAUUGUAAAAAGUGUGAAAUGUUAGGGGCAAAAUUGUAAUUUGCCCAUAUAUAUGUUCUUAGACUAAUUGAAUGAAAAAAAAAUGUUUAAAUGAGAUUUUUUUGAAUAUGUUUAGAUCAAGAAACCAAGAAAUCGAAUUUAGAUCGGGGGAAAUCGAAAGUAGUUGAGUAGCCGAUCUAUUAGUCGACGACAUCCGAGGUAAGUUAUUAAGCAUAUAUAUAUAAUUGUGUAUUUUUAAAAUCAGCUUAGUAUUUAUGUAAUUAUGCUGAAUUGAAUGAUAUAUAAAUAUACAUGUAGUGAUAAAAUUAUUGAAAUAAGAUAUAUUGAGUUGUUGACUUUUGACACUAAGUGUGCGAAUUUAAUUGUAAAGCACUAAUUGUGCAAGUUUAAUUGAAAAGCACUAAGUGUGCGAGUUUAAUGGUAAAGCACUAAGUGUGCGAACUUAUUAAAUAUUUUCGAAUAACUAUUAGCAUUGAGUAUUUGUUUUUUUUUUUUUUGAGAAAUUAUGAUUAGUAAAAUGAGUAAAUACUUGGAAUUUUUGUGGUUGUAUUUAAGGUUAAGCUUUGUAGGUAUUAAACCUAUGUGGUGAUUAUAUUUGGAAUUAUAUAUAUAUAUAAUAUGAUUCUUUAUAUUACAUGGUGAGGAACUGCAUAAUGUAUUUGGUCUUGUGAUUAAAUUUGAAGAAAUGUUUAUGGUUAUGUAAUUAUAUUGAUUUAGUUAAAUCAUAGUAAUAAGUGAAUAAUUAUCUUAUGAUAUGGUAAGCUAAAGGUAAGAUGAUUUAGUAGUAUGAAUUGGUUGAAUAUUAUUUAAGAUAUCGGUUUAAAUAGUAGAGUUUAUUUGCUUAUAACUUACUAAGCUAAAUUAGCUUACAAUGUGUUGGAUAAUUGUUUUUUUUUUAUGUAUAGAUUUUGGUGAUUGCUACGUGUUCGGGGAUCGUCAGCUAAGUUCGUCACACUAUCGAUAUUUUCUUUUGGUACUUUACUAAAUCGUUUUCAAAUAUAUGGCAUGUAUAGCAUAGUUAAAAUAUUGAAUUUGGAACUAAUGUGUAUAUGUAUUUAAAAGCCAUGCGAAAGAGGCUUAUAUAUAUUUUUUUUUUUGGACUUGAAUUUGGUUUGGAUGCAUGUGUUUAAUGAUUAUGAGUGUGGUAUAUGCUUAUGGUAUUAUUAUAUGGAGGGAUUAUUUGUUCUUGGUAUAUAUAUAUAUUGGGCUACAAUGGAAUUAAUGAAUAGUUAAUUAAAGUUAGUUGCAAGAUGUGUACACGUAUGGUUGUGUAAAAAAAUGUGGAUUUCUAACUUAAAAAUGUGUGAGAGUAGAUAUUAAUAAGCAUGCUAUAUAUAUAUAUAUAUAUAUUCAUAUAUGUGCAUGGUAUGUUUGAUUUUGGUAUGUUAAGGGUUUGGCAUUGUAUAUAGGUAAUGACUUAAAAUAAGUCUAGUUCAUGACUAGCUGCUUAUUAAAUUAUGUUUAUAAUAAUUCGGUCUUAACUUAGCUCUGCUUUGAAAUUAUGUGAUAUGAUUUGAAUGGUUAUGUUUAAUUUGAUUUUAUAUGUGACUAUAAGAUUCGGCCAUGAUGUAAUAUUAUUAUGUAUGUAUGUAUAUAUAUAUAUAUAUUCAUUUGAUUAGUAAUAGAUAUACUUAUUAAUGCCGCAUAUGAAAUAGAGGAUAGGUUUUGUAACAUAUUUUGUUUAGUCCAUUAAGUACAUGUUUAUUAAUAAGCAUAAAGAUGAUAAAAAAAAUCAUUAUAUAUAUUUUUUAUACCAUUUUAAUGAUAAACACACGAUUCGUGUAUUUAUUUUGAAGCAUAAGUUGUAUGGAUUUAAGGCAUGAUUUUUUUUAAGGUGUAAAUAUGAUUAUAUUCAUGAGAUACUAUAUUUGUUUUGUGAUUAAUAAUGUAUGUAUAAUUUGUAAUUAGUCUCUUUUUUUUCAGUAAUACCUCAUAACCCUAAUCUGGCGACGGACACGGGUUAGGCGUGUUACAAUUUAAAAUAACAAUAAAACAAUAUAAGACAUUCAAUAAAUAUCGAUGGUGUUUUGAUUCAAUGUUCAAGUUCAUUAAAUAAUUUUUCUCAAAUAACACAAGAAGGAAAGAUAUUCGAACACACGAGUGUCCAACCAAACACCAAAUGAUCAAUGAAAUUAGUGCAAGUGCCAACAAUAACAAUAUUCCAUUGGGAGAUAAUGCAACUUAGUCUAUAAUCAACCAUCACACUAAAUGCACAAAACGCAACAAUGACAAUGCUCCUGAAUGCUUAAGACAGUUCCACAAUAAACAAUGAUGGAGAUUCCUCCACCUUACGAGAUGUGGCUUAUACCAAAACAUUUCAAUUAUUAAAAUAGUAAUUAACAAUGAUUUUCGGAACAUAACCAAUUAAUAAAAAUAACAUUUUAAAAAUAGUAACCAUAAUUAAAAUCAAUUUAAUAAACUGCCACACAAGUAAAAAUUCAUAUGCAAGGAAUCAAAAUAUCAGUCCACUAAGCCAAUAAUUUAAUUGCAACAUUAACAUAAUUUAAAACGUAACGAUUACAAACUAAUUUUUUAAAUGUUGGUUGCUUAGGAUCACAUGCACUAUAAACGUAAGGACCACCGUUGAAAGCCAUGCAAAAAUCUACAAUUUUAUAUUUAUAUGUGUAUAUAUACACAUAUACAUAUACACGUAAACACUAUAAAUCAUGCCAACCAUUAACAAAGCCAUGCAAAUAUUUAUAUUUAUAUAUUUCAUAUAUUUAUACAUUCACAUGCACAUAACUAAAUACGACAUCAUGCAAAUAUAGUUAUGUACAGAAUAUUGAUAUAUUAUCUCAUUAAUUUUAAAAAUAAACAACACCAAAAGACCAAGCUUUACACUACUCACACGACAUAACAUUGGUUUCACGAAUCCUCAAAGCACUACUCCCUCUGGGCUUUCUACGAUUUAACAGCAACCUGCUUUGUCUUUAUUUGGUUGUGGCUUCUAUGCAGAUUAGACGAGAGGCUUCAAUGGAUGAUAUAAAAGAGGUGGUGUUGGUCAGUGGUGGGCAGAGGUGGCCUGAUGUCGGUGCAAGGAGAUCAACGGUUAGGACCAGGGUGACUGUGGAGCGAUGAGAUGUUGGGGCGACGGAAGAACUCACGAUGGCGAUGAGAGGGCGGACAAUGGUGCAUUGAUGGAGAUGACUCCAAGGCAGCGUGAUGAAAGGGAGGGACGACUUGGGGCAGUUGGCUGACGGUGUGGCGACUAAGAGGAUCGGUGCUUAGUGAUGGAAUGAAGGAGACAAUGCCUGACGUUGGGGAGUGAAAGGUGGUAAUCAGUCUUUUAUUAGGGGUAGAAUUCUACAAAAGAAGGGUUUUGAUAGUAGGAAAGUUUGACCAAAUGUGUAUUCUUUCUUAGUUGUAACUCUGAAACCUAAUUGAUGAUGAUGAUGAUGAUGAUGAUAGAGCACACACGCCCAGGCCACCACUCUGUCAACUAAGUUGUUUAAGGGCUAAUUCCAAUAUUUGUCCCCAAUUAAUUGCUGAGGUUUCAAUUUAAUCCAUAAAUCAAGAUCAAAAUUCAAUUAGUCUUAAAAUUAAACUAAAAAAUCAAAUAAGUUCAUAAUACACAAAAAAUCACUAAAAAUAUAAAUUUUAUCCUAAUGUUCCAAAAUUCCGAAAAUAUAUUUAUCGAACUUAUCUCGAUUUUGUGUGAAAUCAUAGUUGGAAAUUUUGGAGUGUUUCACGAAAUUAUCCAUCAAAGUGCCUUAAGAAGUAGUAGUCGAGUAGUGCGUUGUUAAAAGUUCCUAGAAAGAUGUUAACAUUGGAUAUUAAAUGAGCAUCGUGGAUGGAAAAGAGGACAUCAAAAUACGAGUAUAGAGAUUUGUAGCUUGCUACCAGAGGCAAAGCUAGUUGCUGGUAGGGCUUGACCUCCCUUUAAAUGGAAUAAUUUCAUUUAUACUCUUAUAUAGUUUAUAAAAUUUUAAAUUAGUAAUAAAAAAAUUUAUACUUUGACCUCCUUUAAAAAUUAUAAAGAUAUUAUAAAAAUAUAUAAUUUAAUUUCACCCCUAAAACAAAUUUUUGGUUUCCCGGAUUAUAGAAAAGCUAUAAUCGUGUUAUGAAGUGAUAAUGGGUAAAUAAGUAUAAGAGAAAUGAGUUGAAAAGUAGGAAGAGAGAAGUAUGUAUUUGGUAUUGAGAUCAUAUGAGUUGGGAAGUUAAAUCGUGGGUUGACGUGAACGGAUAAGGCACGCAUUGGAUGUGUGGGAAGAGAUUUAAGUCAAGAAGAAAAGUGACAGUAAUUUGAAGUAAACAAUGAAGGUUAUGCACAUGCUCAAAAGGAAAAGUUAUGAUCAUUUGAUGGGGAUGAGUCAAGAUAAGAUAGCCAAUUAAAGGUGCAAAAUUAACCCAAGUUGAGAUGAAUAUGGUGAAUAUAAGCUUGUUAACCCAAGUUGAGUGACAUGUCAAGUUAUAACAAUCAAGUGAAAAUGAUUGAUGUGGUAUAUUAAAAUUAUAUGUUAGUGACAUAUAUGGUAUGGAAGACAUUAGAAGAUAAGAAACUUAUGAUUCGUGCUAAGGUUAAGAUUUAUAGAUAUUUGAUGAAUCAAAGGACAUCUUGUGCAAUGUGAAAGAUAAAGAGGGAAAUUUAUUUAGGGUUCAACAUUUAAGUGAAGCAAAUUAUAAGGUUGUGAAAACCGUUAAAAGGAUAAAAUGUAAAUUUUAGAAUAUAAAAAAAUUAAAUUGAAUUAAUGGAAAAAAAAAUGACAAAGAGGUAAUUUUUACUUAAUUUACUUUACUGAAAGUAAAUGGAUAAUUAUGGAAUUAGAGAAUAAAGAAAAUUGGGGAAAAAAGAAGGAGGAGGAGGAGAAGUGUUGUCAUGAUUAUGACCCUUGGAUAUUAUGGAAGAGGUGAAGAAAUAAUUGCAAUUGGAUAUUAAUUAUGAUGAUGGGAUUUUUAUUAAUGUUUUAAUUAUAUUAAUUGCUAUAUGGCCGUGUGUCAAGCCAUGUGGCUCAAAUGAACGUGUGGAAGAGGUCAGUCUAUGUGGCUCCUGUACUUGUUCUGAUUUUCGAUUCUUGAUAAGUGUCAAAAGUAACAUAUUUUAAUCUCAUUCUUAAUUCAUUUUUAGAUGAUUAAUCAAUGCAAAACGGUAAAAUUUAUGCUCAUAAUCCUUUAAAUUCAUAUUUCUAUACUUAUAAGAGCAUUUGAGAGAAAAAUUAGUGAAAACGAAGCGAAAAUCAAAAAAUUGGAGCAGAUUUCAAGAGCCACACGAGUUGGACACAUGGUCAUGUGAGCCACACGGGCUGCCACACGGCCAUGUGCCAGAUAGAGACACAUGGUCAUGUGAGCCACACGCCAUGUGCCAGAUAGAGGUGCUCAUGGGCCGGGCCCGGCCGGGUUCGGGCCGGGCCCAUAAAAAAUUUCGGCCCGGGUCCUAGGCCCGGCCCGACCCGGCCCGAAAUAUGGGCCUAAGAUUUUGCCCAGGCCCGGCCCGGGAAAAAAAUCAUAAGCCCGGGCCCGGCCCGUCCCAUUUUUAUUUUAAAAAUUUUAAAAAAAUUAAAAAAAGUAUUUUAAAAAUAUUUUAAAAUUAAAAAAAAAUUAAAAAAGUAUUUUGAAAAUAUUUUAAAAUUAAAAAAUUUUUAAAAAGUAUUUUAAAAAUAUUUUAAAAUUAAAAAAGUAUGUAAAAAAUAUUUUAAAAUAAAAAAAAAUAUUUAUUAUAUCGGGCAGGGCCGGGCCCGGGCCGAAAAAGUGGUGCCCGAGGCCCGGCCCAUUUUCUAAACGGGCCUCGUUUUUUUGCCCAAGCCCAUAUUUCGGGCCUAUAUUUUUACCCAAAUCCUCUCAUAUUUCGGGCGGGCCGUCGGGCCGAGCCGGGCCACCCGGCCCAUGAGCACCUCUAGUGCCAGACCGUGUGGAUUUCGCAUUUCACACUCCAAAUAUGUGGAAUCACGCAAUUUUUAAGUUUUUCGGGCAUUCUUAGACCUAUAUAUACCAAAUAUAUGGAGAGAAGUAAGAGCCGUCAGAGAAUAUUGAAGAAAACAACUCAAAAGACAUCAUUGAAGUCGACUUUGAAACAAAUUUCUACUAAGAUUGAAGAUCUCCUUUUGAUUUCUUUGAAGUUUAUUAUGAGUUUUUUUAUUUCUUGUGGUUAUACUGUCUUUGAGAUGUUUUUACUCUCGAUUAUGAACUAAUUUUCUAAAGAUGAACCUUAUGACAAAUUUUGUCUUUUGACUUCUAUUUUAUGCAAUGAAUAAUUAAAUCUUGUUCUCAGUUAUGUGUGCUAAAUUUUUUAUUUAAUAUUUUCAAAUUAUUAAUUCAUGUUUGAUAUGCUUAAUUCAGAGUAGAUCUAGCAUAAUUCAAUGGAGUUGCAUGUAAUCCUAGAAAUAGGACAACAUAAAUCUACCCUGUUAGAGUCAAAUCUAAUAGAAGAAUUCAUAAAUCGAGUCGGUACGAUAAUAGGGAUUUCAAUUAAUCCGUAAAUAUCCCAAAAUAAUAUUCGACUUAUACGAUACAUUUCUAAAGUUGCGAAAGAGUACCUUGGGUGCAAUAUGGCCCAUGGUACCUCUAACUGUUGUCAUUGAAAUAGCAUUUUGUUCCUUGGAACACAAUUUAGCAAGGCCUGAAUGGAGGAUACGUUACUAGCCUUGAUGCAGGUACUCGAUGCCUUUGGUUACACCGACAAUAAUAUCCUGAAGUUUUUCCCAACUAAGGGAUCGAUCCGUACCCUUAGCUUGCAAAUAUGAACUUCUUUAAUGACUCGUUUGGUAGGUAUUCAUAAAUGAGAACUCAGUCAUAUCCAUCGACACAAAACUCAACCAGGCAUGUCACAUUCACAUGGUGGAUUCUGCCCAUCGAACCCACCUCAUUGAUGAACUCUCAAUAUUUAACUAAAGUUUGCUUUUUUACUUUUUUUUUUAUUUUCAUUUUUAAGAAAAUGUUAUUUUAUUAAUUCAAUUAUCAAAAUUAUUAUUAUUUUAUUUAAAUUAGAUUAAUCCUCAUUUAAUUAUUACAAGUAUAUUAUUUUAAAAUUAUAAAAAUUAUUAUUUAAUAAUUAAACAAAUAAACAUUUAAAAUCACAUACAUUACAUUAAAAACUAGUAUAUCUAAAUAUAUAUUUUACCACUUAUUUUAAUCUUGUUAUUUUUAAUUUCAUCAAAAUUAUUAUAUAUCACUCGAGCCACUGCGACUGCUGACCGGUGAUUAUUGCCUGCAUAAUUUGAUGAAAGGUUCUGAAUUAAUACAUCCAAGACUUUUAUGAGCAUCGCCAUUGACUGACCGACGACUUGUAUGAAAGAAUUUUCCACGUACGUUAGCUUUAUUACUGGACUGAUUUUUCAAAGAAAGACUUGCUCUCAAUUGGAGCCAUAAAACAAAUGAAUGAUUGGCAUUUUACAUUAAAGAGCAUCCCAUUGUUUAUUUCUUCAUCGGAGCUCCACCGGAACUUGAUGAUGUUAAGACCCAGACUUUUCUUGUUUAGCAUCUUUGCCCUUACUUUAUCUCUAUCCCCAGAUGUUUCCGAUGGUAGAGCAGGCAAAAGCAACCACUGUGGCCCAUCUUUGUGUGGACACGUUAAUAUCAGACACCCUUUCCGACUAAAAGGUCAGCCUCGUCGAUGUGGUGACCGUAGGUAUGAAUUAGAAUGCAAGAGAAACCGCACCAGUUUUCCCAUGAAAUACGGAAACUUUUAUGUCCUAAACAUCUCUUAUGUUGACCGAACGCUUCGACUUGUGGAUGUGAGUCUGGUCGAUGAAAACUGCUCAAUUCCUCGCAGUUCCAUUGUCUAUUAUCCAUACAGCUAUCAAGAAGACAUAAAUUAUGGAAGACACACCAUGUAUCUGGUAAAUUGCACGACAAGGAUGAAGUCUUCUUCAGUUUAUGUCGAUGCUUCUCGUUGCCCAACCAAUAGCUCUUCUUCUCCUUGGACCUACUUCUACUUUCCAGUCUCGUUUUCAAAUAUAUCCGAUUUCCAUCAUUCGUGUAGAUUUAUAGCCCAGUUUCCUGUCAUGCUUUCCAAUAUUAGUGGCUUAUCCCCUUCUUACAUUUACAAAAACCUGUUGGAAGGCGUCGAGGUGUCCUGGUAUAGACCCUUUAGUUUUUGGCCUUCAAACCCGGUUCUCAAAGUGUAAGAGACUUCGAUCUUUAGAUUCUUUCAAUCUAUAACUUUUCAAGGCCUUAUUUAUUGAUUGGUUGCUUUUUUUUUCCUUGGGGGGGGGGGGGGUUAUUCUAGCUUGCUACAGUUGGUGAUCUAUUCACUACGUCCAAUUUUAGCAUACAUAGUAAGCAAUGUGGCCUUUCUUCUACCGGGAAUCAUCGGCCAUUAUCCUUUUGGGAAAGGUUAAUCUUUCAGAUUUCAUAAGUAUCUUUAUUUAUUGGAUUUGCCCUUGAAUUGUAUUCGAGUUAGUAAUAUUAUUGUUCAAUUUGCGUUUUAAACAGGAGCCACCUUCGUUUGUCUUGCAGUAUCAGGUAAAUCUCUUUCCCUUCCCACUUUUUAUGUUAUCUUUAUAAAAUAAUCAUGAAUGCUGAUUUAUCCAUGUGUAUGCACCUUGAUGGGCAAGCAGGCAUAUUGUUAGCGAGAACUUUGUUGGGGAUAUUCUGCCUCAUUACACUUGUCAUAUGCAAACUAAAGAGGAGGCAUUUGUCGAUGGAUGAUGAUAUCGAAAACUUUCUUCAAAGUCAAAAUAAUUUAAUACCUAUUCGAUAUUCGUAUUCUGAAAUAAAAAGAAUUACGGAAGGUUUUAAAGUUAAAUUAGGUCAAGGUGGUUAUGGUUCUGUGUUUAAAGGAAAGCUUCGCAGUGGUCGGCUAGUGGCAAUAAAAAUGUUAGAUAAAUCCAAAGCAAAUGGAGAAGAUUUCAUCAAUGAAGUUGCUACUAUUGGAAGAAUUCAUCAUAUUAAUGUAGUGCAACUUAUUGGGUUUUGUGUAGAGAGAUCAAAACAAGCUCUUGUAUAUGAUUUUAUGGUGAAUGGGUCUCUGGAUAAAAUUAUAUUUUCAAAGGAGAAUUGCACUUUAAGUUGGCAAAAAUUAUUUGAUGUUGCACUUGGUGUGGCUCGAGGAAUUGAAUACUUGCACCGGGGUUGUCAAAUGCAAAUUUUGCAUUUUGAUAUCAAGCCGCACAACAUUCUUUUGGAUGAAAACUUUAUCCCUAAAGUUUCUGAUUUUGGUCUUGCAAAAUUAUAUUCAGUGGAUGACAGUAUUAUUUCUCUCACAGCGGCUCGUGGUACAUUAGGAUACAUUGCUCCUGAAUUAUUUUACAGAAAUAUUGGAGGCAUCUCAUAUAAAGCCGAUAUUUAUAGUUUUGGAAUGUUAUUAAUGGAAAUGGUGGGAAGAAGAAAGAAUUUGAAUGCAUUUGAUGAUCAUUCUAGUCAAAUUUAUUUUCCGUCAUGGAUUUAUGAUCGAUUUGAACAAAGAGAGAACAUAGAAUUAGGGGAUGUAACAGAAGUUGAUGACAAAAUAGCAAGGAAGAUGAUAAUGGUUGCAUUUUGGUGCAUACAAAUGAAUCCCACUAAUCGUCCUUCAAUGAGCAAAGUUUUGGAAAUGCUCGAAAAUGAACAUGAUCAACUUGAAUUGCCGUCCAGACCUUCACUAUUUUCUCUCGAAAAGUCGACUGAAGAUCAUGUUUGUAAGAAUGUAUCGGAGGAACCAUCAACGUCAAAAAGUUGUGUGGACAUCUAAGUAUAAUGUUUGAUUUUAUUCGGACCUUUUAUACAUAUAGUUCUGCAAGUACUGUAAGCUUUUAAUUUGUAGCAUUUCAUGCUCAGUUGUAUAAUAUCCAGCAUCAUGUAAUACGACUAUUAAUGGAUGUGUGUUUUAGACUUUAGCUCCUUAGCUUCAUGUUUCAAUUAUUAAAAAUGUCUCCUUUUCACCAUAUAAUGAGUUAAUAUCAAAUUCGUUAACAAUUAUUUAGUAUGUAAGUGACUCUUAACAUUGCGUGAUCUCAUGAGAAAGUUUUUACUCUCUUAUCGUAAUAUGUAAUCAUGCUGAUAAAAGUAACUUGUAAUAAUUAUGAGUGUGGUGUGGCGGUUGCUCACUUUAUUUUUUAAUCAUGUAGUCAGGGUUUGAGUUCCGCUCAUAGAAAUGGAAUACCUUCCAACGAUGAAUAUCUUAAUUUUGACAAUUAAACAACAUUUAAGAUAGAAUCUUUUCAUUUAUUAGUAGAAUUUAUAUACUAACAGCCAUGCAGCAUUUCAUUUAUGAGUUCAAAUAAAAUCUUAGCAUUGGUGUAAUAUGAGUGUGCUAAUAGGUGAUUUCAAGUUUCAACUGAUUCUAGUACUACUAACAAUGAGGCUCGAGACUGUUCUUAUUCCAUUUCUGAAAUAGUGGGUAGAUCUCUGUUAACCGGCUUCCUAGGUAUGGUGGCACCCAUCGUCUUCGGUGGAUCUGUUGACACAAAAGGAUUUGGGGGCAUUGUAAGAACGUCAAGCUCUCCCUCUAACAUCUGAACCACCACUUUCAUCGAAGGACGAUCAACGGGAUACCACUGAAUGCACCAAAGUCCAACGAUCAUGAGUUUCUUUUCUAUCCCUGUUUGUGCAUCAUCUUCAAUUCGAAUCCCGAACUCCUCUCCUUUAUCCAAACGAUCAUAUGCCCAUUCUGGGAAAUACACUUGGCUUGUAUUCUCGACCAUAACAUCUAUGUUCUUUCUCCCCCCAACCAUUUCAAGCAACAGCAUUCCAAAACUAUAAACAUCAGACUUAUAUGACACAUUUCUGAAGUUGCGAGACAGUACCUCUGGUGCAAUAUAGCCCAUGGUACCUCUUGUUGGCACAUAAUUAAAUUAACCUUGCACAAAUAAAUUAUGAAAAGUUAGAAGAGUGAAGAGACUUGAAUAUGAAUAGUGAAGAGACUUGAAGAUGAAAAGUUAAGAGUCUUGAAUAUGAAAGGAUACACACAUGCAUGAAUAGUCACAACUCCUAGCAUAUAGUGAUUUAGAUGAAUAGUCACUUACAACUCCUAUAUAAAGAGUUGUAUGUAAUGAAGAAUAAUUAACUUGUGUGCUUGAAAUAAAAGCUUAUUUGAAAGAAUUUUUCCAUACAAAAUUUAUUUCUCUUCUCCAUUAUAUUCUUUAUCAUUUUCUUUGUUUUAUUUCUCCAAAUAUUAAUUAUUCAACUACAAAUUGGUAUCAGAGCCUUGUUCGAUCGAAAUGAACAAUUCUAUUCCUCUUUCUUCCGUUCCCCAAUUAACCAAAGAAAAUUAUGGCAAAUGGAGUAUCCAAAUGAAGGCUCUUCUUGGAUCUCUAGAAGUUUGGGAGAUUGUUGAAAAAGGUUAUAAUGAAGUUGAGGCUGAAGAGGAGGAAGGAUUAUCACAAGUUCAAAAAGAGGGUUUAAGAAAAUCAAGGAAAAAAAAUAAACAAGCCUUAUUUUGGAUAUAUCAAGGAGUUCAAUCAAAUGAAGCAGCAUGGGAAAAAAUAGCUUGUGCCACCACGGCAAAACAAGCAUGGGAGGUUUUACAAAAUUCUUUCAAAGGAGAUGAAAAGGUGAAAAGAGUUCGGUUGCAAACUCUUCGAGGGGAGUUUGAAAGAUUGCAAAAAAUAGAGUCGGAAUCAGUUUUUGAUUACUGUUCACGAGUUUUGUCCAUAGUCAACCAAUUGAAAAGAAAUGGUGAAACUAUGGAUGAUAGUCGUGGUGUUGAAAAAAUCCUCCGUUCUUUGGAUUCUAGAUUUGAUUACAUUGUGGUAGCCAUUGAAGAAUCAAAGGACUUGAGUACCAUGACUAUUGAUGAACUCACAGGUUCGUUGCAAGCCCAUGAAGAAAGAUUAAACAAGAAGAAGAAGGAAGUAGAUCUAGAUCAAGCACUCCAGUCAAAGUUGUCUCUAAAUGAGAAGAAAGGAGAAUUUAAAAAUCAAAGAGGGAGAGAUCGUGGAAGAGGAAGAAAUUUUAGAGGAAGAGGCUCAAAUGCUCGUCAAAGAUAUGAAAAUACAAGCACGGAGAAUGGAUGGAAAGAAGCCAGCCAAAGUCAGAAUUUUAGAGGAUCACAAAGAGUACGUGGACGUGGAAAUCAAAGAGGAAGAGGUCGUGGCUAUUUUGAAUGUUAUCAUUGUCGCAAACCUGGUCAUUUGGCAAGUGAAUGCUGGUACAAGAAAGAAGAGAAAAAUGAAGCUAAUAUAGUACAAAAUAAUCAAGAGCAAAAGCAAGAAACUUUGUUGCUCGUGUCUCAUGGUGGAGAGAUUGAUGAUGUCUGGUACAUAGACAGUGGUGCUAGCAAGGCUAUGACAGGUAACAAAAAUUUAUUUUCGAAGUUCUUUGAAUCUGAUUGUGGAGAAGUAAAAGUAGGAGAUGGCAAUGCUUACAAAGUUAGCGGUGUUGGUGAGUUGGAGUUCAAAACAAAGCAAGGAAGGGUAGAGAAAAUGUCUGAAGUUUAUUUUGUUCCCGGACUUAAAAAUAAUCUGCUUAGUGUUGGGCAUCUUUUAAAGAAGGGGUAUGAUAUUCAUUUUCGUGACAUGGCUUGCUAUUUAUCAAGGAAAAAUCAGGUUGUUGCUAGAGUUGGAGUGGCAUCAAAUAAUCUUUUCUCUCUCACCCUUCAAAAUCAGAAUAUGUCUUGUUUUAUUGGUGCUCAUAAAGGAGUUUCAAAGUUAUGGCAUGAUAGAUAUGGACAUUUGAACUAUGGAAAUUUGGAGAUGCUUUCAAAGAAGAUGAUGGUCAGAGGUUUACCAAAAAUCAAUCGACUUGAUGAUAUUUGUGAAGCAUGUCAACUUGGAAAGCAACACAAAAUUACUUUUCCUUCUCAAUCAUCGUGGAAAGCAAGAAGACCAUUGCAACUUAUUCACUCAGAUCUUUGUGGUCCAAUGACAAUUUCAUCUUUGGGAGGUAAUCGUUAUUUUAUCUCUUUCAUUGAUGAUUACUCAAGAAAGUUAUGGGUGUAUUGUGUAAAAGAAAAAUCAGAGGCUUUUCAGAGAUUCAAAGAUUUCAAGGCAGAAGUGGAGAACUUUACUGGGCUAAAAAUUAACACCUUACGGACAGAUCGUGGAGGUGAAUAUUUUUCAAAAGAAUUUGAGAAAUAUUGCCGAGAUAGUGGCAUCCGGCAUGAAAUGACAGUCCGCCAUACACCUCGGCAAAAUGGUGUGUGUGAAAGAAAGAAUAGAACAAUUAUGGAAAUGACUAGAUGUCUUCUUAGGAAGAAGAGGUUAUCAAGAAGAUUUUGGGCUGAAGCUGUUUCUUGUGCAGUUUAUCUUAUAAAUAGAUCACCGACAAGAAGCUUGGAGAAUUGCACACCACAUGAGGCGUGGUAUGGUAUAAAGCCUAGUGUUAGUCAUCUUAGAGUAUUUGGGAGUGUUGCAUACUCUCAUAUUCCAGAUGCAAUGAGAAGCAAGUUGGAUGACAAGUCAGAGAAAUGCAUUUUUAUUGGUUAUAGUGAAAGAAGUAAGGCAUACAAGUUGUACAAUCCGGUGACAAAGAAGAUUGUGAUAAGCCGAGAUGUUCGGUUUGAUGAAAAUUCCAUGUUUGAAGAUAUAGAAGUUGAAAAGGAAAAUUUGCCAAUUUUUCCUUUUGAACUUGAAGAAGAAGAAGAUGCAGUAAUUGAGAAUGCUGAAGAUGAUGCUCAAGUAGGAAAUCCUCCUGCUUCCUCAAGUUCUUCAUCAAAUUCUUCUUCAUCCAGCCCGAUCCGAAAAACGAGAAGCAUCCAAGAGUUAUAUGAUGUAACGGAUGAAGUUGUGCAAAAUGAUGUUGUAUUCUUUGCCUUCUUUGCAGGAGAAGAUCCAAUUUCUUUUGAUGAUGCAUAUCAAGAAGAAAUAUGGAGGAAAGCCAUGAAAGAAGAGAUUUGCUUAAUUGAAAACAAUGAUACAUGGGAACUCACAGAUUUACCGCCGCACAAGAAUUUAAUUGGAGUCAAAUGGGUGUACAAGACAAAGAUGAAUCCGAAUGGCUCUAUCAACAAGUACAAGGCAAGACUGGUUGCAAAAGGAUACAAACAAAAGGAAGGAGAAGAUUUUACAGAGGUAUUUGCUCCAGUUUCAAGACUUGAGACAGUUCGGUUACUUAUUUCUCUUGCUGCCCAAAACAAUUGGAAAAUGUUCCAAAUGGAUGUAAAAUCUGCGUUUUUGAAUGGUGUUCUCAAAGAAUAAGUCUAUGUUGAUCAACCACCAGGGUUUGUCAAAAAAUGAGAAGAAGAAAAAGUUUACAAGUUGAAGAAAGCUUUGUACGGGUUGAAGCAAUCACCCCGAGCUUGGUACAGCCGAAUCGAUUCUUAUUUUCAGAAGUGUGGAUUCCAGAAAUCUCCAUAUGAGCAUACUCUCUACAUCAAAGGCAAUUAUCAAGGAAGAUUCAUGGUUGUUAGUCUCUACGUUGAUGAUCUUAUUUUCACAGGAAAUGAUGUGAAGAUGUUGAAAGAAUUUCAGCACUCAAUGAUGGCAGAAUUUAAGAUGAUAGAUUUGGGAGAACUUCAUCAUUUUCUUGGUAUUGAAGUUCAUCAAUCUAAGAAAGGAAUUUUUAUUUCACAAGAGAGCUACGCAAAGGAAGUUCUAAAAAAGUUCAUGAUGGAAAAUGCGAAUCCAAUCUCUACUCCAUGCAUUACAAGUCUGAAGUUAUCUAAAGAGGGUGAAGGAAAGCUUGUCAAUUCCACCAUAUUCAGAAGUUUGGUUGGGAAGUUGAUGUAUCUGACUUCGACAAGGCCUGACAUCGUGUAUGCUGUUAGUUUGGUGAGUAGAUUCAUGGAGAAACCUUACUCCAAUCACUGGGAGGCUGCUAAGAGAAUAUUGAGAUAUGUGAAGGGAACCAUUGAUUAUGGAAUUUUCUAUAAAGCUAAUACUUAGUUGAUCUCAUUGGUUAUACGGAUAGUGAUUUAGCAGGAAGCAUUGAUGAUAGCAGAAGCACUUCUGGUUAUGUUUUUCACCUUGGGAGUGGUGCAGUUUCAUGGAGUUCAAAGAAACAAUCAAUUGUGGCGCUUUCGACUACAGAAGCUGAAUAUAUCGCUGCAUCUUAUGCAGGAUGUCAAUUGAUUUGGUUACGUGGAAUUUUGGAAAGUCUUAAGCAGAAGCAAAGCAAGUCAACAAUUUUGUUUUGUGACAAUAGUUCUACUAUUUCGGUCACAAAAGAUCCAGUUCUUCAUAGAAGGACAAAACACAUUCGCAUUCGAUAUCACUUCUUGAGGGAACUAGUGAAUAAUGGUGAUGUUCAAGUUGAAUAUUGCAAGACAGAAGAUCAGAUGGCUGAUAUCUUCACAAAGCCUCUAAGUGGACAAGUCUUCAAGAAAAAUGUUGAAAGGUUGGGAGUUCAAAGCAAGUUUAAUUUAAGGGAGGCAUUGUUGGCACAUAAUUAAAUUAACCUUGCACAAAUAAAUUAUGAAAAGUUAGAAGAGUGAAGAGACUUGAAUAUGAAUAGUGAAGAGACUUGAAGAUGAAAAGUUAAGAGGCUUGAAUAUGAAAGGAUACACACAUACAUGAAUAGUCACAACUCCUAGCAUAUAGUGAUAUAGAUGAAUAGUCACUUACAACUCCUAUAUAAAGAGUUGUAUGUGAUGAAGAAUAAUUAACUUGUGUGCUUGAAAUAAAAACUUAUUUGAAAGAAUUUUUCCAUACAAAAUUUAUUUCUCUUCUCCAUUAUAUUCUUUAUCAUUUUCUUUGUUUUAUUUCUCCAAAUAUUAAUUAUUCAACUACACCUCUAGCUGUUGUCAUUGAAAUAGCACUUUGUUCCUUGGAACACAAUUUAGCAAGGCCGAAAUCAGAGAUCUUAGGAUUGAAGUUGUGAUCAAGCAAAAUAUUGUGAGGUUUGAUGUCGAAAUGGAGGAUACGUUGCUCGCAACCUUGAUGCAGGUACUCGAUGCCUUUGGCUACACCGACAGCAAUAUCCUGAAGUUUUUCCCAACUAAGGGAUCAAUCCUUGCCCUUGGCUGCAAAUAUGAACUUCUCUAAUGACUCGUUUGGUAGGUAUUCAUAAACGAGAGCUCGGUCAUAUCCAUCGGCACAAAAGCCAACCAGGCGAGUCACAUUCACAUGGUGGAUUCUGCCCAUCGAACCCACCUCGUUGAAGAACUCUUCACCAUUUCCCUUGAAAUUAUUGAGUACCUUGACAGCAACUAAAACAUCACUGGAAAGUCUGCCUUUGAAGACAGUUCCAUAGCCUCCUUGUCCCAGUUUGUCCUUGAAAUGAUUAGUUAUCCUUUUAAUAUCAGCAUAGGAGUAUCUUGAGGGUUUAAACCCUUUAUAAUCUUCCAAAAACUUUUCAAUCUUGACUUGAAUUUCUUUCUCCUUUUUGUCUAACUGAUAUCUCCACCCAACUGCAAUGGCAAUGGUUGCAGCAAUUGAAGAACCCAACACAAUACCUGCAAAUCAGCAUACAUCCCUCUGUUAUAUCCCGUCUUAAAUUUUUGAAGCUAAAAGGGAAAUUCCAUUUACCUGCAAUCAUUAGCCUUUCUCCCAAACCUGCCAAGCAUUUAAAAUUAUUCAGCUUUGAUACAUGGGAAAUCUAAGAAAAGGGCUCACUGUAAGUUUACAACAUUAAGCUUCACGUUGAUGCAGGCUAAUGAAUUUUUUAACGUACGUUGUACAAUUAUAAUAGUUAAAACAUACCUAUAUGGUGCUUGGGGAUAUCAAAACACUCGGUUUGUUCCUUGGUGCUAUUAUUGUUGUUCAAUCUACAUCCCCUUCCUUGAGCUUCGCAAUCACCACAGUCUGGUUUAUACCAACGUAACUGAAAACGGAUACCAUAAGGAGAAAUGGGUGUUGAGAAGUUGCGAAAGUAGCUGCAAUUCAACAGGUUGAGUCCAUAAUAAUUUUCAUCAGAAGCAAAAGCUAUAAUUUGGGAGCCAGGGGUGCUUAAGCAAGCGACUCUAUAUCUUUUAUACAAAGCCUUCUCUUGGCUUAAACAUUCGAACAAGGUAUAGUUGGAUUCAGCUGGUUGGGAUCUAUAAUCUUUUAGGCCGCUGAAACCUGGUUGUUCCUCCGCGAAUGGAAAGGCAGAUAAAUUGAGAUCUAAAAGCUGCUGCCAGAGGCAACGGCCGGGAACGUAUAAGUCAAUCCGUUGAGCUUCAUAAUCUAUGUGCUUCACCAAUAGCUUCAGCGAACGUGGUAUCUUCAGCAGGGUCUGUUUGUUUUCUGAGCAGGAAAGCUGAAACCCAGGAUGAGGAUAGCCGCAGUGGGGAGACUGCUGGCCUUCUAAACGGAAGGGGAAACGGACAGGUGGAUCCUGGUGGUUGCACCGCCGCACCUUGCAGUCGUCUUGGAUUGGCACUGCUUCUGCAACAUUCACAGCUAAGAUAAAGCAGAAUAACGAGUAAAUUAACAUUGUUCUUACUAACUUGUGAGCCCCUAAAGUGAAACGGGCUUUAAAUAGUUUCAUUGACAUAGGUGGUUCAGCCCUUGAGAGUUCCAAUUAUGCACGCAACGCAGCUGCUGCUUUACUACAUAGCUUUGUCUCGUUUAACAGGGUCUUCAACUCUUCGUCCUCUCUUUGUCCUCUUUUAUGAGUAAAUGUUGGACAUGUUUGAUUGUUAGCAACCCUUUCUAACCUUGUUACUAAUUUUCUUUUAUUCCCGUUAGUUGUAGUAAAAUUUGAGGAAAAAACACUGAACAUGAGAAUGAAUACCGAUUUGCUGUUGUGAUCAUAGUGGGGUCAGCUUGACUGACUUUUGUUUUUCCACCUUCGUUUCACUACAUUUUGUUUGGUAUGACUAAGAAGUUGACUGACUUUUAUGGGUUCUUUUUAAUGUCUAUCGUUUCUUUUCUAAUGUAGGUGGAUUUUUUCUCACUUUCUUUUUUUCUAAUUUAUCUUUUAUUUUUAAAAAUGGCAAAACUCGAAUCAUAUGUUUUUAAAUUACUUAUACAAAUUUUUUUAAAAGUGGAUACAAGACAAUGAGAUGAUUUUUUCCACAUGAGUAUGAAACAAUUAUAGUCAUUGUUUGCUCUACUCACCCUAUCUCGAAAUAAUCUUUUACCUUUUUUUUUGUAUAUAAUUAUUAAAAUGAUAAAAAUGUAAUAAUAUGUUAUAGAAAAAAUUCAUAUGUUUUAUACUUAUAUUUUUUAAAAAUUAUGUUUAAAUAUUUACUUUUCUUAAAAAAAAGUAAAAUUAUUAAAAUAACUAAAAAUAAAAAUUAAAUUAAAGUAGAGCGAAGCAAGGUGAGAUGGGAUGGGGAUGGAUGCUUCUAAUAUCUAUGCGGUGAUAGUAAUUUUUCAGAUUAUACAUCCAACACAAGUAAAAAUUCAUAUGCAAGGAAUCAAAAUAUCAGUCCACUAAGCCAAUAAUUUAAUUACAACAUUAAGAUAAUUGAAAACGUAACGAUUACAAACUAAUUUUUUAAAUGUUGGUUGCUUAAAACGUAAGGAUCACAUGCACUAUAAACGUAAGGACCACCGUUGAAAGCCAUGCAAAAAUCUACAAUUUUAUAUUUAUAUGUGUAUAUAUACACAUAUACAUAUACACGUAAACACUAUAAAUCAUGCCAACCAUUAACAAAGCCAUGCAAAUAUUUAUAUUUAUAUAUUUCAUAUAUUUAUACAUUCACAUGCACAUAACUAAAUACGACAUCAUGCAAAUAUAGUUAUGUACAGAAUAUUGAUAUAUUAUCUCAUCAAUUUUAAAAAUAAACAACACCAAAAGACCAAGCUUUACACUACUCACACGACAUAACAUUGGUUUCACGAAUCCUCAAAGCACUACUCCCUCUGGGCUUUCUAUUAACAGCAACCUCCUUUGUCUUUAUUUGGUUGUGGCUUCUAUGCAGAUUAGACGAGAGGCUUCAAUGGAUGAUAUAAAAGAGGUGGUGUUGGUCAGUGUUGGGCAGAGGUGGCCUGAUGUCGGUGCAAGGAGAUCAACGGUUAGGGACGAGGGUGACUGUGGAGCGAUGAGAUGUUGGGGCGACGGAAGAACUCACGAUGGCGGUGAUAGGGCGGACAAUGGUGCAUUGAUGGAGAUGACUCCAAGGCAGCGUGAUGAAAGGGAGGGACGACUUGGGGCAGUUGGCUGACGGUGUGGCGACUAAGAGGAUCGGUGCUUAGUGAUGGAAUGAAGGAGAUAAUGCCUGACGUUGGGGAGUGAAAGGUGGUAAUCAGUCUUUUAUUAGGUUUGAUAGUAGGAAAGUUUGACCAAAUGUAUUCAUUCUUUAUUAGUCAUAACUCUGAAACCUAAUUGAUGAUGAUGAUAGAGCACACACACCUAAGCCACCACUCUCUCGACUAAUUCCAGUUUUUCCUUGCUUUUCAAAAGUAUUUUUAGAAAAUACUUUUAAAGUACUUUUAAAAAAUUUGAGUAUUUGGUAUUACUAACAUAAAGUGUUUUUGAAAAAUAAAAUAUUUAUUUUAGACAUGAUAUUAUAAAGUAAUAAAUAUGUAUUUAAAUAAUAUUCAAAUUAGUUAAUAUUAUGAUAUUUUAGCAAAAAAAUAAAAAAUAAUUUAUUAUAACUUAUUGUUAAUAUUUUAAUAUAUAAUAUUAAUUUUAAAUAUUUCUAAGUAAUUAAUAUUAAUUAUUUAUUAACUUUAAUUAGAAUAUAUAAACUAUAUUUAAAUAUUUAAAUAUAAUAAUUAAAUAAUUGUAAUUAGAUAUUGACACAACUGUAUUAUUAUAAAAAUUAUUUUUUAUUUUUAAUUAAUACUUUUUAACACAUUUGUAUUAUUUUAUUUUAAAAUGUAUUUGAAUAUAUAACUCAUAUUAGAUAUUAACAUAACAUAGAAAACAUAAACUUAAAAAAUUAAAAUAUUACAUAUAUUUGGAUUAAAGUUUUAAAAAGGGAUAAUAUUUAUAUACCAAAUAUAAAUACUAAAAAUCUUACAAUAGCAUUUACAAUUUAAAGUGAAUUCAUUAAACUAGAAGUUAUAGCAUCUCUUGUUAAUUCCAUUUCAAAACCACUUGAAUUGUUUGAUUCACUGUCAUCAUCACUAUCUUCGUCGUCGUCGUCAUCAUAUCACUUUAUCGACCAUGCGCAUUUUCUGAAUCAAUAAUAUUCUCAUAUGCCCAGUUAAUAUCUUCGUAUUCCAUAAAAUCUACAUCAUUUCGACCGAAAUGUUUUCAGAUAAAAUUGUGUAUCGUCAUUGUAGCAACAACGAUCAUGGUUUGCUUUCAAAAAUAUAACUUGGCAUAUCCCUUAAAAUGGCUCUUUUUUUCAAAACACCAAAAGUUCGUUCAAUUACACUACGUAAUGAUGAAUGUGAAUGAUUGAAUAUCUCUUCUAUACCAGAUAUCGGUCUACUUCUACAAAAGUCAAGUAAAUGAUAUCGCUGAUAUUUUGGUAGGGGUUUUGCUUAUGAUUGCGGCACUCUUUAAUAUGUACCAUUUGCAAUACAUUUAAGUAAAAAUAUUAUUAUAUAUAAAGUCCUAAGGCAGUCAUUAAGAAAACCCAUGUAGUUACUUCAAACAUGUGGUAUUAUUGAUUAUCAAAGUAAUGGCAUUAAAGGCAUGACUUCCCCACUCCACCGGUCCAGCUGCAACUGCAUUAAUGGAGUAAAAAAGACACAUACCUAGCUACAAAACUCAAUUAUGGCUUGUUUCCAAACCUUACCAAACCAUGAACUCAACAUGAUACUUCAAACAAUUGAAUCACCAAACUAAAAGAGAAAAAAAGAAUUUCAAAAACUAGAAUAAAUUGCUUGGAUGUUUAAGUUCAAACCUGGGAAUAUAUAUAUAUAGAAACGCAAAAGCUGAAGCAAAAAGAAAAGAAAAAAGCCAGUGUAACCUCCAGUAAGAAGCUCAAAAGAAUGGAAAUGCUAGCAUUAAUUACCAAUCAGAAUUAAUAUAUAGUAAAGUAAUUAAGUUGAAAAAAAGAACUUUGCAAAUGAAGAAGAGACAGAAAACAACACACAUAAAAAAUGGACAAAGACUGAUGAUGUUUGUAAACCAUCCAGAAAAUAGAAUAAGAAGAGAACAAAUCCAUCAACCACCUCUCUGAAAACUAUCCAUUUGCCAGCAGAGGAACAAAAAACCAGCACCAGCAGAGGAACAUAGAACGAGCGAUGAAAGAAGAGAUGAGAGCAAAGAACCACUGUUGUAUGUGUGGCUAAAAAAGUAAAAGACUAGCCCAAAAGUACUUUUUUGCUGAAAAAGCUAAAAAAUUCUACUUUUUCAUCUGCCCAAAAGCACUUCAAAUAAGUUCGAAAUUUGCUACCAAAUGAAGUCGGUUCUGCAUUGCUUUUUAGAUAAAAGCACUUUUCCUUUACUGAAUUGAAUUAAUGGAAAAAAACGACAAAGAGUGUAAUUUUUACUUUACUUUACUGAAAGUGAAUGGAUAAAUAUGGAAUUAGAGAAUAAAGAAAAUUGGGGAAAAAAGAAGAAGAAGAAGGAGAAGUGUUAUCAUGAUUAUGACCCUUGGAUAUUAUGGAAGAAGUGAAGAAAUAAUUGCAAUUGGAUAUUAAUUAUAAUGUUGGGAUUUUUAUUAAUGUUUUAAUUAUAUUAAUUGUUACAUGGCUGUGUGGCUCAAAUGGACGUGUGGAAGAGGUCAGUUUAUGUGGCUCCCGUACUUGUUUUGAUUUUCGAUUCUUGAUAAGUGUCAAAAGUAACAUAUUUUAAUUUCGUUCUUAAUACGUUUUUAGAUGAUUAAUCAAUGCAAAAUGGUGAAUUUUAUACUCAUAAUCCUUUAAAUUCAUAUUUCUAUACUUAUAAGAGCAUUUUGAGAAAAAAAUGAGUGAAAACGGAGCGAAAAUCAGACAAUUGGAGUAGAUUUCAGGAGCCACACGGGUUGGACACACGGUCAUGUGAGCCACACGAGCUGCCACACGAGCUGCCACACAGCCAUGUGCCAGACCGUGUGGAUUUCGCGUUUCACACUCCAAAUAUGUGGAAUCACGCAGUUUUUAGGUUUUUCGGGCAUUCUUAAACCUAUAUAUACCAAAUAUAAGGAGAGAAGUAAGAGCCGUCAGAGAAUAUUGAAGAAAACAACUCAGAAGACACCAUUGAAGCCAACUUUGAAACAGAUUUCCACUAAGAUUGAAGAUCUCCUUUUGAUUUAUUUGAAGUUUAUUAUGAGUUUCUUUAUUUUUUGUGGUUAUAUUGUCUUUGAGAUGUUUUUAUUCGCGAUUAUGAACUAAUUUUCUAAUACCUAGGGGAGAUGAACCUUAUAAUGAAUUUUGUCUUUUGAUUUCUGUUUUAUGCAAUGAAUAAUUGAAUCUUAUUCUUAGUUAUGUGUGCUUAAUUCUUGAUUUAAUAUUUUCUAAUUAUUAAUUCAUGUUUGAUGUGCUUAAUUCAAAGUAGAUCUAGCAUAAUUGAGUGGAGUUGCAUGUAAUCUUAGAAAUAGGACGACAUAAAUCUACCGAAUUAGGUAUUCAUAAACGAGAACUCAAUCAUAUCCAUCGGCACAAAACCCAACCAGGUGAGUCACAUUUACAUAGUGGAUUCUACCCAUCGAACUCACCUCAUUGAUGAACUCUUAAUAUUUAACUAAAGUUUGCUUUCUACUUUUUUUUUUAUUUCCAUUUUUAAGAAAAUGUUAUUUUAUUAAUUCAAUUAUCAAAAUUAAUAUUAUUUUAUUUAAAUUAGAUUAAUCCUCAUUUAAUUAUUACAAGUAUAUUAUUUUAGAAUUAUAAAAAUUAUUAUUUAAUAAAUUAAACAAAUAAACAUUUAAAAUCACAUACAUUACAUUAAAAACUAAUAUAUCUAAAUAUAUAUUUUACCACUUAUUUUAAUCUUGUUAUUUUUAAUUUCAUCAAAAUUAUAUAUCACUCGAGCCACUGCGACUGCUGACUGGCGAUUAUUGCCUGCAUAAUUUGAUGAAAGGUUCUGAAUUAAUACAUCCAAGACUUUUAUGAGCAUCGCCAUUGACUGACCGACGACUUGUAUGAAAGAAUUUUCCACAUUAGCUUUAUUAUGGACUGAUUUUUCAAAGAAAGACUUGCUCUCAGUUGCAGCCAUAAAAUAAAUGAAUGAUUGGCAUUUUACAUUAAAGAACAUCCCAUUGUUUAUUUCUUCAUCGGAGCUCCACCGGAACCUGAUGAUGUUAAGACCCAGACUUGUCUUGUUUAGCGUCUUUGCCCUUACUUUAUCUCUAUCCCCAGAUGUUUCCGAUGGUAGAGCAGGCAAAAGCAACCACUGCAACCCAUCUUUGUGUGGACACGUUAAUAUCAGUCACCCUUUCCGCCUAAAAGGUCAGCCUCGUGGAUGUGGUGACCGUAGGUUUGAAUUAGAGUGCAAGAGAAACCGCACCAGUUUUCCCACGAAAUACGGAAACUUUUAUGUCCUAAACAUCUCUUAUGUUUACGGAACGCUUCGACUUGUGGAUGUGAGUCUGGUCGAUGAAAACUGCUCAAUUCCUCGCAGUUCCAUUGUCUAUUCUCCAUACAGCUAUCAAGAAGACAUAAAUUAUGGAAGACACACCAUGUAUCUGGUAAAUUGCACGACAAGGAUGAAGUCUUCUUCAGUUUAUGUCGAUGCUUCUCGUUGCCCAACCAAUAGCUCUUCUUCUCCUUGGACCUACUUCUACUUUCCGGUCUCGUUUUCAAAUAUAUCCGAUUUCCAUCAUUCGUGCAGAUUUAUAGCCCAGUUUCCUGUCAUGCUUUCCAAUAUUAGUGGCUUAUCCCCUUCGUACAUUUACAAAAACCUGUUGGAAGGCGUCGACGUGUACUGGUAUAUACCCUAUACUGAUUGGACUUUAAACCCGAUUCUCAAAGUGUAAGAGACUUCGAUCUUUAGAUUCCUUCAAUCUAUAACUUUUCAAGGUCUUAUUUAUUGAUUGGUUGCUUUUGUUUUUCCUUGGGGGGGGGGGGGGGGGGGUUAUUCUAGCUUGGUGAACUAUCUGCUACUUCCAAUUACAGCAUACAUAGUAAGCAAUGUGGCCUUUCUUCUACCGGGAAUCUUCGGCCAUUAUCCUUUUGGGAAAGGUUAAUCUUUCAGAUUUCAUAAGUAUCUUUAUUUAUUGGAUUUGCCCUUGAAUUGUAUUCGAGUUAGUAAUAUUAUUGUUCAAUUUGCGUUUUAAACAGGAGCCACCUUCGUUUGUCUUGCAGUAUCAGGUAAAUCUCUUUCCCUUCCCACUUUUUAUGUUAUCUUUAUAAAAUAAUCAUGAAUGCUGAUUUAUCCAUGUGUAUGCACCUUGAUGGGCAAGCAGGCAUAUUGUUAGCGAGAACUUUGUUGGGGAUAUUCUGCCUCAUUACACUUGUCAUACGCAAACUAAAGAGGAGGCAUUUGUCGAUGGAUGAUGAUAUCAAAAACUUUCUUUAAAGUCAAAAUAAUUUAAUACCUAUUCGAUAUUCGUAUUCUGAAAUAAAAAGAAUUACGGAAGGUUUUAAAGUUAAAUUAGGUCAAGGUGGUUAUGGUUCUGUGUUUAAAGGAAAGCUUCGCAGUGGUCGGCUAGUGGCAAUAAAAAUGUUAGAUAAAUCCAAAGCAAAUGGAGAAGAUUUCAUCAAUGAAGUUGCUACUAUUGGAAGAAUUCAUCAUAUUAAUGUAGUGCAACUUAUUGGGUUUUGUGUAGAGAGAUCAAAACAAGCUCUUGUAUAUGAUUUUAUGGUGAAUGGGUCUCUGGAUAAAAUUAUAUUUUCAAAGGAGAAUUGCACUUUAAGUUGGCAAAAAUUAUUUGAUGUUGCACUUGGUGUGGCUCGAGGAAUUGAAUACUUGCACCGAGGUUGUCAAAUGCAAAUUUUGCAUUUUGAUAUCAAGCCGCACAACAUUCUUUUGGAUGAAAACUUUAUCCCUAAAGUUUCUGAUUUUGGUCUUGCAAAAUUAUAUUCAGUGGAUGACAGUAUUAUUUCUCUCACAGCGGCUCGUGGUACAUUAGGAUACAUUGCUCCUGAAUUAUUUUACAGAAAUAUUGGAGGCAUCUCAUAUAAAGCCGAUAUUUAUAGUUUUGGAAUGUUAUUAAUGGAAAUGGUGGGAAGAAGAAAGAAUUUGAAUGCAUUUGAUGAUCAUUCUAGUCAAAUUUAUUUUCCGUCAUGGAUUUAUGAUCGAUUUGAACAAAGAGAGAACAUAGAAUUAGGGGAUGUAACAGAAGUUGAUGACAAAAUAGCAAGGAAGAUGAUCAUGGUUGCUUUUUGGUGCAUACAAAUGAAUCCCACUAAUCGUCCUUCAAUGAGCAAAGUUUUGGAAAUGCUCGAAAAUGAACUUGAUCAACUUGAAUUGCCGUCCAGACCUUCACUAUUUUCUCUCGAAAAGUCGAUUGAAGAUCAUGUUAGUAAGAAUGUAUCGGAGGAACCAUCAACGUCAAAAAGUUGUGUGGACCUCUAAGUAUAAUUUUUGAUUUUAUUCGGACCUUUUAUUCAUAUAGUUCUGCAACUGUAAGGUUUUAAUUUGUAGCAUUUCAUGUUCAGUUGUAUAAUAUCCAGCAUCAUGUAAUACAACUAUUAAUGGAUGUGUGUUUUAGACUUUAGCUCCUUAGCUUCAUGUUUCAAUUAUUAAAAAUGUCUCCUUGUCACCAUAUAAUGAGUUAAUAUCAAAUUCGUUUACAAUUAUUUAGUAUAUAAGUGACUCUUAACAUUGUGUGAUCUCAUGAGAAGGUUUUUACUCUCUUAUCGUAAUAUGUAAUCAUGAUGAUAAGAGUAUCUGAUACGGGGUUGCGCGCGGACCAAGAUCGAGUUGCCAAAUCACGAGAAACUCCUACGAAAACCCUAAACAAUCAGAUCUGAAACGAAACAGAAAAUUAAAAGAUUAGAUUUUUGAAUUUUCAAAUCUGAAAUAAAAUCCCCAAAUCAGCAAAGAAUCAAAUUGAGAAUAGAAAUAAGUGUUAGGGUUAUUGAAACCCUCAAGGAGAUUGUGAUUCUGCCCAAUUGAACACCAAGAUAGUUUUCCCCAAAUUUCGACAAUCUAAUUUCACCCAAAAAGAGUAUGGAAAAACCCUAGAAAUUGGGGAUUUUUGGGCUGAUUCCUUAAGAUAGAAAAAGGCUGAAAACGCAAUAAGAACAAAAAAUAGAUUAGAUAAUGAUUCAGCACAAGUAGAAAUAAAGAAAGAAUUGACAGUAAGAAAUUAAAAGAUAAGUCCUAAGAAGCCUUGAAAUCCCGAAAGAUCUCACAACUCCCUUCAAACGGCUCUAAUCUCCCCUCCAAAGAAUAUCAAUGGCAAGAAGAAGGUUGAAGAUGGCUCCCACAAUCAAAAAGAUUGUUAAAACAACUUCUAAAGAAAACUCAAGAGAAAAUCCUUGAAGAACUCAAAGAGAAUUUUCACUCAAAUCAAAUCUGAAAUUUUCAAUGUAAUUGUAAUGUAAUGUAGGGUGGCUGGCCAAGCCAUAUAAAUAGGCCUUUCAAAUGUUUUCCUAAUUUAAUUAGAACACUAAAACUAAAACUAAAAAAAACUCCUAAUUAUUUUAAUAUGGAAAUUCGGCCAAGGGUCUUUUAUUUGGGACUCUUGGACUGAAUAUAAAAAUUUAAACUAAGUAAAAUAAAUAAAUAAAUAAAUAAAAAUAAAACUUUACAACUUGGGCCACUUUGACAAUUUGGCCUGAUUUUCAACUAAGUAUGGAUGGAUUUCUUGAUUGGGCUGGGAAUUUGCUUAUUGGGCCUCGCCUUCAAGAAUUUGGGCUUUUGUGACUCGUAUCAUUCCCCCUUCCUCAAAAAGAUUCGUCCUCGAAUCUGAAAAAUCAAAUGAACUCGACUUUCCUCUAUCGAACGGGACUAAUGGCAAUUGAGUCCACUGAGAAGAAUAGCCAUGAGAUAGUAAAUAGCAACGGAAAUAAGCUUGUAGUCCAAUCAUAAGCAUAAUAGAACAGGUAUAACGCAUGUGAAUGGAUAGAUUCAGAUUACCAUGCAAACAAUCUAAUUUACUCACCACUGCCUCGUCAAAUAUUUGAAACAAAGAUGGACAUGUUUUAAGGCAUUCAGUCGUCUCACAUUGUUCCCACAAACCAUGAAUAAAUUGCGAGUAAUAAAUCAAAUGGUAAACAUAAUCGUCACAAGUAGGUAUUUGAAAAGAUUCACAUGGUUCACAGAGUUGCAUAAUCAUACCAUGCAUUAAUCGACGGUCUAUAGAUUCACUCACACAUGCAUUAUCAAAAACAAGAAUCUUUUUAUCAACCAUCAAAACAGAUAGAUCAUCAAUAAAUAAAAUAGGACAGUCAAGCACGUUUCGAUCUAAGUGUUCAUCAACACGAUCUUUAUCACUAUCCGAGGAGUACAAAAGUGUUUCAAAGGUUUCAAGCAUCUUACCUCGAUAAGCAGAAGAAUAAGGGUCGAUUUUACCUUUUUCAUUUAAAACAAACCUUCGCUCAUCGGGGGCAUAGUGUAGUCGAAUCUUCGUUGUUGAGUUAACGUUUGUCAAAUGGAACUCAAACUUCAUGUACAACCACAUAAACUGUUUAAGACACGAAUAUAAAUUGAAAACAAAUUUGGAAAAUUUCAUUACCUUAUUCUCCAAAACAGAUUUGGACAAAUUCGAGGAUUUUACACAAGGUAAAUCAAGAGAAUAAGAAAUCACGCUUCUUUUCGUAAUGACUUUAUCAACCACAAUCGAAGAGUAACAAUUAAUCGGAUCAAAAUGAGGGGAUCUUUUAAGAACUAAGUCACCAAAAGUUUGAUCAAUAAUUUUCAAAUCUGCACUGGACUCGGUUUCUAAAAUUUCCUUACCUCGCUUACCUUCGGGAUCAUGUAGUGUGAUUUCAUCUUUGCCUAAGUUGAUCGUAUGAAAGCGUCUUUCAUUUGAGAGGUAUUGAAGUUGAAAGUUAUCUUUCGAUCUUUCGGGAACCUGAAAAGUAGCAACACAAGAAAAAUUCAUAUCUUGGUUAGUGGAAACAUUCCUCACUAUCCUUUCCACGUCUUUUUCUUUUGUUUCUUUUUCUAAUUCAUUUUCUCUUCUUUCUUCAAUUUCUUUUUCACUCUCAAUCUCUUUUUGCUCUUUUUCAUUCUCUUUUUCUUUUUCCUCACUUGUUUUAACAGAAUUUUUCAGUUUGAUUUGGUCCUCAUGGACUUAUUCCGGAGUGAGCGGCACUAAGGUGAGUUUCUUUCCUUGAUGCUUGAAAGAAUACCUAUUGGUAUGACCAUCGUGAGUGACUUUUCGAUCCAGUUGCCAUGGUUCUCCUAGCAACAAAUGGCAGGCUUGAAUAGGCAUUACGUCGCACACAACUUCGUCUUGAUACUUACCAAUAGAAAAGGCGAUGCGCACUUGUUGAGUGACCCUAAAUUGGCCUUCGUUGCUAAGCCCUUGUAGUUGAUAAGGUUGUGGAUGCUUGGUAGUGGUUAAGCAAAGCUUUUCCACCAUCGUCGUGCUGGCUAUGUUCGAGCAACUUUCACCAUCAAUAAUAACUCUACAAAGCUUACCUUGUACGUGGCAGCGAGUAUGAAAGAGAUGUUCUCGUUGCUGCUCGCUCUUUGGUUUUGCCAAAGAUGAUUGUCCAUGAUCAUGACAAUCAUCAUCCAUUCUAGGGACACGUUCAGGGUUGCACCUAUGGGGCUGGUUAUCCCUAUCUUCCUUAAUUGGAUCUCGAUAUUGAUGUUUUUGAUUCACUCGUACCUCAUUCAAAGUAGUAUUCAAUGCUUGAAGUGUAGCAUUUAUUUGUGUGAUUGCAGCAGUAUGUCUGUCUAACUGUUGUUGGACUUUCAUAAGUGCAUCAUUAUUACCACCUUUAGACAUCUUCAAAACCUGUAAAAAAUAAACACUCAAAAAUAAAAGUUAGCAAACCUCACCAUUAAUCACUCAAAAAGAAAAAUCAAAUUCUCAAUGAGGUCGAAUUCAAUCUUGUGAGUUCUUUAUCAGAGUUUAUAUCAACCAAUUAGAGAGUGUGAACCAAACUACCAAAGAAUCCUAAUUUGCACUAGGAUGCCAAAAACUGACGAGACACCAAGUGAUUCGUGUUGCACCGAGGAAGGAGUUGUGCACACGUGUAAAUCCUACUAACACAAGAAACAAGAAGGUGUUAGAUAACGUAACAGAAGCAAACAAAUGAAAACCUACAGCUAAGAAUCAAUAAAAAUUGCUGAAAACAGAAAACCCGAAAAACUGCGGAGUAACUUGACAACUUCGUUCGAGGUGUUCCUGAUCUCCAAAAAUCACGAAAUUAAAUCUCGAAUGUCCUUAAAUAUUUAAUUUUUGAUCUGGAAAUUUUGGGCACCAAAUUCAACCCGCUGAAUCUUUUUUAAAUUUUUAUUGAAUUUCGUCUUUUUUGAUUUUUUUGACUUUUUUGACUGAUUUUUUUGCGGGAAUAAUUUUUUAUAUUCAAUCACAGUGCCAAAAACAUGUAUGUAAAAUUUCAGAUCAAUAGGACAACGUUUACCCACUCAAAUGAAUUUUUUUUGAACAAUUUUUCUGGGUAAAACUGUUGUUUAUGCUUUAAAAAAUAGAGAUCAGUUUAGAAAUCAACCAAGAACACCCAAAAUACCCAAAAUCUGAUACCAAAUGAUACGGGGUUGCGCGCGGACCAAGAUCGAGUUGCCAAGUCACGAGAAACUCCUACGAAAACCCUAAACAAUCAGAUCUGAAACGAAACAGAAAAUUAAAAGAUUAGAUUUUUGAAUUUUCAAAUCUGAAAUAAAAUCCCCAAAUCAGCAAAGAAUCAAAUUGAGAAUAGAAAUAAGUGUUAGGGUUAUUGAAACCCUCAAGGAGAUUGUGAUUCUGCCCAAUUGAACACCAAGAUAGUUUUCCCCAAAUUUCGACAAUCUAAUUUCACCCAAAAAGAGUAUGGAAAAACCCUAGAAAUUGGGGAUUUUUGGGCUGAUUCCUUAAGAUAGAAAAAGGCUGAAAACGCAAUAAGAACAAAAAAUAGAUUAGAUAAUGAUUCAGCACAAGUAGAAAUAAAGAAAGAAUUGACAGUAAGAAAUUAAAAGAUAAGUCCUAAGAAGCCUUGAAAUCCCGAAAGAUCUCACAACUCCCUUCAAACGGCUCUAAUCUCCCCUCCAAAGAAUAUCAAUGGCAAGAAGAAGGUUGAAGAUGGCUCCCACAAUCAAAAAGAUUGUUAAAACAACUUCUAAAGAAAACUCAAGAGAAAAUCCUUGAAGAACUCAAAGAGAAUUUUCACUCAAAUCAAAUCUGAAAUUUUCAAUGUAAUUGUAAUGUAAUGUAGGGUGGCUGGCCAAGCCAUAUAAAUAGGCCUUUCAAAUGUUUUCCUAAUUUAAUUAGAACACUAAAACUAAAACUAAAAAAAACUCCUAAUUAUUUUAAUAUGGAAAUUCGGCCAAGGGUCUUUUAUUUGGGACUCUUGGACUGAAUAUAAAAAUUUAAACUAAGUAAAAUAAAUAAAUAAAUAAAUAAAAAUAAAACUUUACAACUUGGGCCACUUUGACAAUUUGGCCUGAUUUUCAACUAAGUAUGGAUGGAUUUCUUGAUUGGGCUGGGAAUUUGCUUAUUGGGCCUCGCCUUCAAGAAUUUGGGCUUUUGUGACUCGUAUCAGUAUCUUAUAAUAAUUAUGAGUGUGGCGUGACGGUUGCUCACUUUAUUUUUUAAUCAUGUAGCCAGGGGUUCGAGCUCCACUCCUAGAAAUGGAACACCUUCCAACAAUGAAUACCUUAAUUUUGACAAUUAAACAACAUUUAAGAUAGAAUCUUAUCAUUUAUUAGUAGAAUAUAUAUACUAACAGCCAUGCAGCAUUUCAUUUAUGAGUUCAAAUAAAAUCAAGUUUCAACUGCUUCUAGUACUACUAACAAUGAGGCUCGAGAUUGCUCUUAUUCCAUUUCUGAAAUAGUGGCUAGAUCUCUGUUAACCGGCUUCCUAGGUGUGGUGGCACCCAUCGUCUUCGGUGUAUCUGUCGAUGCAAAAGGAUUUGGUGGCAUUGUAAGAACGUCAAGCUCUCCCUCUAACAUCUGAACCACCACUUUCAUCGAAGGACGAUCAACGGGAUACCACUGAAUGCACCAAAGUCCAACGAUCAUGAGUUUCUUUGCUAUCCCUGUUUGUGCAUCAUCUUCAAUUCGAAUCCCGAACUCCUCUCCUUUAUCCAAACGAUCAUAUGCCCAUUCUGGGAAAUAAACUUGGCUUGUAUUCUCGACCGUAACAUCUAUGUUCUUUCUCCCCCCAACCAUUUCAAGCAACAGCAUUCCAAAACUAUAAACAUCAGACUUAUAUGACACAUUUCCGAAGUUCCGAGACAGUACCUCGGGUGCAAUAUAGCCCAUGGUACCUCUAGCUGUUGUCAUUGAAAUAGCACUUUGUUCCUUGGAACACAAUUUAGCAAGGCCGAAAUCAGAGAUCUUAGGAUUGAAGUUGUGAUCAAGCAAAAUAUUGUGAGGUUUGAUGUCGAAAUGGAGGAUACGUUGCUCGCAACCUUGAUGCAGGUACUCGAUGCCUUUGGCUACACCGACAGCAAUAUCCUGAAGUUUUUCCCAACUAAGGGAUCGAUCCUUGCCCUUGGCUGCAAAUAUGAACUUCUCUAAUGACUCGUUUGGUAGGUAUUCAUAAACGAGAGCUCGGUCAUAUCCAUC